This 51588-nucleotide long non-coding RNA is filed under the name Lathyrus oleraceus (garden pea). Its description in RNAcentral is "Pisum sativum (pea) long non-coding RNA (PSAT_LNC035937)". Lineage: Eukaryota; Viridiplantae; Streptophyta; Magnoliopsida; Fabales; Fabaceae. The record is from RNAcentral.
AAAGUGGUCGCCCAAAUAGCAGGCGCAUUAGAACUGAAAUGGACGUCGCAGAGAAAAUGCAGAGGAAGUGUAGCAUAUGUAGACAACUAGGGCAUAAUAAGAACAAAUGUCCAUAUCGUGGAUCUAGUUCCACAACUUAGUUUUCACUUUCAUAAAUCUGUGUACCAAAAUCAUUUUAAAUUAAAGUUUACUUUUUAUUCCAAAUAGAAGAUGACACUUGAACAACAAACACAAACAUCUAACAUUACAACACCAAUUACUAAAACAAAAACAAAUACUGGAACAAAAACAAGUACUAAAACAAGAACAAGUACUAGAACAAUAACAAAUACAACAACAACAUGACAAACAACCAUUAAAAUCUAAGAAAUUACAACAGUUAACACUAUGUCGUCUGAUCCAUGCAUCAUUUGGAUGCAAUCAAUGUCGCUUUCAACUUCAACCCACCAACGUAUCGUUUCUCCAGUUUCAAAUGAGAACCUUGUUCUAAGCCUCUGAAUCCUUCUGAUGACUUCACCAGGUUGGUAAUCUCCCUCUAACCAAGACAUCAAGGACCUUUUUAGUUGGUCCAACGAACGGAUGUUCCAAAAUUUCAUCUCCAUUGGGGGUUUCACAGGCGAGAAAAUAACAUGCCCAUCCCUUUUUAAGAUUACUGGUUCAGGAUCCGGGCGCCUUGAUGAUGUUCGCUGCCAUGACGACGGUCUUGGGGAUGCCAUGAACUCAACUUGAUAGAGAAAGUGAUAGGAAAUAGUGGUGAAGAAAAUGCAAGGAAAUAACACUUUAUUUAUAGGAAAAGAUCUAGGUUGUACACCAAUCUACUUAACCCUAAUUAGUGUCGCACUUGAUUAAUUAGUCUUAGAGGGAAUUAGGGUUUGAAUUAGGUCAUAACUACCAAACUCUAAUUAUAACCGAUCAAUAAACCCUAAUUAUAAUUGAUUAAUUAACCUUAACAUGAUUAACCCUAAUUCUUCCAAAAAUUUAUAAAUAAUAUUAAUUACUUAUAAAUUAAAUUAAUAUAUAUAAAUUAAUAUAUAUAUAUAUAUAUAUAUAUAUAUAUAUAUACAUAUCUUGUAAAUAAUAUUAUUUAUAUAUAUGUAUUAAUAUAAUUUAUAAUAAAUAUAAAUUAAUAAAUUUAAAAUAAGUUAAAAAAGAUUUAAAAAAAUUAAAAAAAUAAUUAAAAACAUAUUAAAAAAUUUUUUUUUAAAAAAAAACAAAAAAAAAUUGAAAUUAGGAGUAGGCGCCACUCCUAGUGGCGACUUGCCCUCCAAUUAAGGGUAGGCGCCAUCUAGGGUGGCGCCCAUGUACAAAUUAGGGCACAAAUGUGUCCAUUUUUGAAUUUUUUUUGAAAUAAAGGUUAUUUUUGUAUUUUUUUUUUAAAAUAUUGAUUUUUUUUAAAAAAAAGCUUCUCAAAACUUAACCUACUUUACUAAUCACAAACAAAUUCCGUAUUUCUUUAUAAUCAUACGAAUUUUUAACUUUUGUCACUCCAUUAUAGUUUUUCUUUCAACCAUACUCCAUCAUCAUUACACCAUCCCUUUCAAACAUAGUCACAAUAUCCAACUCAAUAUUAAUUGUCGUUCAAGUCAAUAUUGGUUGUUGGUGUCAAUUAAGAUUUAUAUGUUGUAGUCCAACUCAAAUUUGUUUUGUUUUUGUUUAAUGAAGUAUAUUAUAUUAUUUAUUUUUGAUAUUUUAUCUUAUUUAAUUUAGGUAUUCUUAAUUAUUUGAACUUUAUUUUAGUUAUUAUAUUCUAUUAUUUUAAUUCUAGUUUGAAUUAGUUUAACUUAGUUUAUUGUAAUUUUUUAAUUUGGUCAAAUUAUUCUUAAAUGAAAGUUGAAAUGAAGUGUAGAAUUAUGUUAUGUUAUUAUAUGUAUUAUCGAUAUUAUUGUAAUAAAUUUGUAAUGAAUUUUUGAAAUAAUUAUUUUAUUAAGUUGUUAAUAUAUGAUUAUGUGUGACAUAUUUAUGAAAUUUAGUUUAUUAUUAUUAGUUUAUUUAAUAAGCGGUUCGACCUUAUAUUUAACCGGUUGAAUCAAUUGAACAUUAAACCGCAUGUUUCACCGGUUCAAUCUUCGGUCCGAUUUUUAAAACAUUGCAUCUGGGAGAAUUUAGAACCCUUAAAGGCGGUGGUUUUUUCUAGUAACUUCUUCAAGAUAGAAUUUCCACUAGAAUUUAUCUGUUCAAGCGUCGUAUUAUUCUGGACUUAGAUGUCAUCUCUUGUAUUUUUUGCCUAGUUGUUCGUAAGACAUCUUCUCACCUGUUUGGUGGUGGCUUAUUUGUGGUAUAAAAUUUGUAGGUUACUUGGCUGGCUUUUUAUUUUACCUAGUGACAUUUCUACGAUUUUAUAGAUUAUUAGAUCCUUAGUGGUUAUGAUUAACACUAGAUUAUGUUUGACUCUGCUUUUACAUGCAAUGGUUUUCUCCAUUUAGAAAUUCUCUUAAUGAAUCUAUUUGUUAAGUAAGUCAGUAAGAAUGGAGGAAUGGUUCGAUUAUUGAGUCUUUUCUUCUUGAAAAUGAUAUCUUGGUAAGUUGUCUGGAUACUCUUGUUCCUACUAUGAGUGUUGGAAGAAACCCACUCUUUGCUAGAAUCAUUUGUAACUUGAGGUUUACUAGCCAAUUUCGUCCAGUUUGCUAGUAUUUUGGUUUCAUUGAACUUGCUUUUUUAUUCUUUUUUAAGAUGGUUAGGAUUUGUACUUUAUUGUUAUGGGUAGAGCCUGUGGGUUCUUGUCUUUUUAAUUGGCCGUUUUUGGUGAAUUUUACAUGACACCCAUUUCAUUGAACAUGACACUCCAACAUUAGUAGCACUUUUAUCAUUGUCAUACCCCAAAAAUUACCCUACUUCUUUUCCACUUUUCAUUUGCCUCUUGGUCCAUGGUUCAUCUGCAUACUUAUACCCUAGUCAUCUAGAUCAUUCAUUUAGAAUAUCAUUUUUUUAAAUAACAUCAUUGAUUCAAAGGUUCCUUGUUAUUUAAAAUACAAUGCACUAAAUUAUGGUUUGCAAGCUUAUGGACUUCAUUGUGCUUCAUCUUUGACUUUUAGCUAGGGACACAACAAGAUUUUGAUUAAUCAUUCUUUUUGGAUCAAGUCUCUAUGGAGCCCUAAUAUUGGUCUAUGACAUUUUGGAUUAUAUUGAUUACAUCAUAGACAGUUGAUUUAGAGGUCGCUUUCAAGUUUGACUUUGGUCAACAAAAGUCAACCAUGAGAGGUUGACCUUUUGUUGACUAUUCUCUUGUGAGGUCUUAUCAUUGAUUUUUCAAUUGGCUCAAGAUUUCAAAUUCAAAUUCAAAUUCAAGUUUAAGAGUUCAAGGUUCAAAUAUUCAAACAAAAUCAAUUUUGGAAGGAAAGAACAUGGCUUUGAAAACAAGUCACAUAUUACAAUUCAAGGAUCCAUUUUCAUUACAAAAUCAUCAAAUGUCCAUUACAAAAGAGUCAAAUUCAAGUUCCACACAGAGUUUUACACAUUUGAACCAAAGUCAACCUACCUAAACCCUAUUAUACCUUUCCUUCACCCUCAAAAUCCUUGUGUAUUCAAGUCUUCAAAAUUCUUCAUGAUUCUUGAUGUGUCCAAACUUUUCUUGUCCAUCACACAUGCCAGCUUUACAUGCCAUGAUGAUGUUGUUUUCAAGCCAAGUCAUGCUCAUUCCAUGACCACACCAGUCCUGUUACAAUAACAUAAAUAUAAUGCACAAUUAUCACUCUUGCCAUACAUGGACACACAUAACGAAAGACAGAUCCAGUUCAAAGCAUCACUAACUUUAGCCUAACAGUUCAACAUAACAUUAACUAAUAUGACAACUUCAUUUCAGCUAGCAAUAACAAGCUUGCAUCUUCAUUAGCAACCAAAUACAUUCAACAAUUGAUCAAUUAACCUAGAAACAAACUAGUUCACUAACAUAACAAAUGAAUUACUGGUUGUCAGGGUUAACAAAUCAAACAAGUUUUUCCAAACUCCAAACUAACUUCCACCCAUCAGUAGUUAGUUAACUCUUAUUUUAACCAAUUCUAAUAAAUCUCAAAUUAAUCUUUCUAGCAUUGUCACAAUCAACAACUUGCAUCAAAUAGUUAUCACAAUAACAACAAGAGCCUAAGUGUAAGACCCCAAUUUUGACCCUAAGAUCCCUCAUGCAUUUUCAUCAUAAGCAUAGGUAUUGGGAUCAUAUCUUGGCAUCCUCCUUACCCCUUUCUUCAUUGGGUUUGUUUUGGGAGAGAUCACCAAGCAUCUUUGUGAUUACAUCAUACUUGUAUAUUAUCAUUUCACUAACAAAAAUUGAUUAUUUAAAAAAAACUUCAAGUUUUGAUAUUGACAUAUUAAAUUUUUUAAAAUGGUCAAUUUGAUGCAUUUUUUUUAAUUGGACGGUUUUACAAAAUCGGCUCCGGUUCUUUGAUUCGAAUGGUUUUGGACGGUUCAAUCUGAUUUUUCCGAUUUUACUCCGAUUUUGAUUCACUAACGAUUUUGAAACAUUGAUUCAACCAAAUUCAUCUCCGAUUCUCGAUCCAAUCGACUAAACCGGACGAUUCGAUCCAAUUUUUAAAACAUUACUAAUUUCUAAGACACUAGUACAAUAUAACCGACCCGAAAUGUACCUUCCUAAGCCUAGUGUUGUUAAGGACAAAAAAAUCCAAAGCAACCGAGUAAAAACUAUCUUUCAUAUGCCAGAACACAGAAGAAUCUAAAACUAGUCUCCAUCCAGCAUUUCCAAAACAUAGCCAAAUAUAUCAAGUGAAGAUUGCUAACACUCAAACCAACCAUUCUGCUCAGGCUUAUUGACAUCAGUCCAUCUAAUCCAAGACACUUUAGUCUCAAUCUUGACCCCUCCCCACAAAAAUUUAAUUAAAUCUUAACAAUAACCUUAUAGACGUUGACAGGGUUUUUAAGAAAAAAUAGAACACUGAUCAGGUCGAAUUAAGGGGAAUCACUUUCCAUCCCAAUCAAAAGACCAAGGUACUUCAAACGGAAAAACUCUUAAGUCCUAAUGAAAAAUAUAUUUUUUCAAAUCUAAAAAUCGGACUACAUUAACUUUAAUUCUACUUUUAGAAAAGUUAACAUUAAGCGAGGCAAGCUCGAAAAUCCGAAGAAUAAAAUACUAAAGGAUAAUUGUUUGGUAUCCUUAAAAAUAGAUAUUAUAUCUAUAAGAUAAAAUUAAUUUAGCAUUUAGACUUAUUUGAAAAUAAUAUAUAACAUGACAUUGUCGAAUGAUUAGAUAUUUGAUAUUACAUUCCAUCAAACUUUAAGACAUGAGCAUGCCCAUUAAAAAUAAAUGGUCCACUUUAUAAGUUGUUUUUUUUUUAAAUUAAUUAGAUAUUUAUUUUAUUUUUUCAAUAGAUAAUACUCAGAUUAUUUGGGUCAAUUUAGUAUGAAUUUUCUAAAAAUAGUUUAAAAGUGGAUCUCUCUCAAUUAUAAUAAAAAGAAUUUUAUAACAAAAAAAAUAUUUGUUUUAAUAAAAUAUGUUUAAAUUUAAUAUAAUUUAAAUUUAAACCGAAUUUAUAUUAGAUGCCAUCUAAUUACUUAUUACUUGUCACUUUAUAAAUAAAAAACCUUGCCAUUACUCUUUUUUCUAAUUCUUGUAUAUUAUUGAUAUUAUUUUUAUAAAACUAAACUACAUUUCUUAUCUAUAUAUUGUCACUGUAAAUUUUAUUUUAUAUUAAAUAUUUUCAAAUAUUAAUUUUAUUUUUAUUAUAAUUAUUUUUAAAGUCGUGUUCUUGAAUGAUUAUAACAACUAAAUUAUUUUAAAAAAUAAUUAACAAUUUAAAUUGGAAAUUGUUACUAAUUAAAAUGUUACAAGUUGUACCAUGCUAGUUGGUUCUGAAUGUGGCUGAUAUGAGUCCUUACUUUGGAUCUAUCUCUCUCUUCUUUUAUUGGUAGAAUCAACCGUUUACUGUUUUGUAUAGGAUGAGUUAGGUUUACAACUCAUUUACAUAGUUGCGUUUGAUUAAGAUAGGAGUAAACCUAACACACUAAAUGUUAAUCCUCGUAUUGAUGGAAUUCUGAUUAAUUUGAUGGGCGGGUGCGGCCGACAAAUAAGUAGUACAAUAGCAUAUAUUGCCACUAGCUUAGAUUUAAAACAUCAUGUUUCUCUUUAAUUGAGUGUACCAAUAUAUCAGUGUAUAGUUGGAAAGCAUUGUAUUUUUGACGAUUAAUUCUGAGUUACACAAUGAAAACUUUGGUAGAUGUUUGGGGCGGCCAGUUGGUCAAAUUAUCCGUCCUAAAACGUAUCCACUAAAAGGUUCAAUCCACUUAUAGAUAUUGGACUAUUUAUCGUUAGAUAUGAUCUAAUAUACUCUCAUGUUCCAUGCAAAGAAAUGUCGUGUGCUUCUAAUCAUCUCUCAUAUAUAAUAUAUUUCACACAAAUAUAUAUAUUAUAUUAUAUAUAUUAUAUAUAUUAAUAAUAUAUAUAUUAUAAUAUAUUAUAUAUAUAUAUAUACGAUUUUAACCAUAACUUACUCUAUUAUUUGGACUCAUUUAUUGACUUGAGUAUUGGAGUGUUAACCUUAUAGGUUCCUCCAUUUAUUUUGUCACAUGGAUAGUGUUUCGUUUCAGAACCAGAAAUUUGAAGUGUUGCGUAAGUUGUGAAAGAUGAGAACUUCUAGUGCGACAAAGAGGGAGUGUACCUGUAAGGUUAGCACUCUAACGCUGAAAUCAGUAUGUGAUUAAUGAUAGAGUAUUCAAAUUGUGUUUGAAACCUGUUACCUGAAAUGAUGUCAUUCCCGAAAUUAUCUAGCUAACUUUCAGGAGGAAAAAGCAAAAAAUUGUUGGAUCUACUUAAGACAUGGAUCUCCUGUAACUAGGUACAUGAUAUUCUAGUUGCAGGAGAAUGUUCCAGAAGUCGAUUGAGUGACUGACUGGUACAUUUGAACCUAGAGGUGUUUCGUCCCAGGAUGACCGGACCAACGGAGAAGUGGGUGGAUCGAGGGUGAUAUGCCCGACCCAAAACAGUUUCCCCCAAGAUUUACCGGGGCUCAUGGGGGACUGGGAAAUCUAUAGUAGCUUUGGUUGGUCAUAUUGAAGACUUUCCCUCGGUUACUUUGAAAAUUGAAAUGUUUUGAGUACUUCGUAGAAACAAUGAGUACAUUUAAUGUUUUCCUUGUCGCUGAUUCAUUAUUUCUCUUGCUUGCAAGCACGUCACCUUAGGCACAUUGUUUAAGAAUCAAUUACCCUAAUUAGGGAACUCAAGUGUUUCUCUAUUCUCGUGUGAGUUGAUGAGACAAAAAACGCAUUACUUUCGAGUCGCUUGAUUUGGACCGUUGACCCCCAUUUUUCAUUUUACUUUUAGAAUUUUGGGUGUUGCUCUCUAAUUCAUUUAUGCGUCUUUACCACAUACUCGUCUAUUUUCUUCAUAUCACCAUUCUCUUCUUCGUGAAUCCUCGAUCCUUGCUUGACCCACUAGUUUAAUGGCGGAGAUUGCGUGGAAGAUUAUUCUUAGGUUGAGCCGAAGUAUUUAACCCACCAAUUUGUUUUCGUUAUGGGGAAAGAAAUGUCAUUUGGUCCUUUAGAAAUAAGGGUUUCUUCAAAUUGGGAAAUCCUGCUGGUUCCAGCCAAAAAUAUAUUUCACCACAGUGAAGGGUGUUAUAUUCCUCUUUAUGCCUACAUUUUCAGGAUUCAGGUGUCCGUCUUCCGCUAAUUUCUUUUGAGAAAGAGGGUCUAUAUCACCUUUGCACUACCCUUCACAACGCCAUCCAUGUGUAUAGAGUUUCAUAUGGGUAUUCCAAUACUGGUAUGAAUACCAGGGUAAGACGAUUUUUCCUUCUCAAGAUAUCUUCUUUCAUUUUUUUGAAGUAUGUCCCGCCUUGGAAUGGUCGACUUCGGAUUGAGCGAUUCCCGAAGUGAUUUCCCCUUACUAGACUGCUCUCACAUGAUCAAGUUCCUCAACUGACUGCAUAUAGUUGGCAUUCCCUUGAUGUUAAGUGCUGACUUGCAGAUAAAAUUAUUCUUUUAAAAUGAUAAUUCUAAUGCAAUGCUCAUGCAAAAUUUGAAAUCAAAGUUAUUAUUGAGAUCAUGAUGGUGAAAUAUAGUGCAUGGGUCAACGAUAAGAACAUAAUGUUGAUUUAGACAUUCAAAUUAUGAAUAGUGAUGUGAGAGCAUGAUACUGAUACAUAUGAUAAACAAAUGUCUUUGGAGUCAGGUUAAGGCGACCUUUUUAUGAUUUCAAAAUAAACCUUGCUCCAAUUAGGUCUUUUGAAUGUUGUAACAAGGUUUGAUUCACAUUUUUUUAAAUAAAAGGAUAUAAGACUCAAAUUUUAAGUCUAACCCACCCGCUCUCCUUGAUGAUCUUCAAACCUACAUUUAGUUAAUUUGACACACGCGUUCAACUUCCAAUAGGGGUUUGAAGGUGAAAAUAUGAGGUUUUUUGUUUGAGGUGGCAGUCACCUACUUUUGUUUGAAAGUCACAAAAUUUUAUUUUUGUCAAGAAUUUUGGUGACCCUUUGAUUCUUAAUAUGGUGGUCACCUAAUAUUAUUUUUUGUUGAGGAUUUUGAUGACCUCUCUUUUUGUUUUUUAUCCCUAAUUUUUUCCUGGACGGCUUCUUUGAAGCUUUCAGUCCACUAGGAUGCAUAUAUUUUUUCUUAAGUCAUUUUUUCAAGUUUUGACUUAGCAUACUUCUCUUUCUCUUUUUUUGUUGAAAGAUUGUGACUUCCUGGUUAAUGGUUGGUGGGGAAUAACCACUAUAAAUAUUUUGGGUUUUCACGACUUCUUUGAUACUUUAUGAUGUGUAAAAAGAAGAGCAUGUGGUUGUACCUUUUAUUGGAAGGUGUAUAAAUGGAUUGAUUCUCUUGCAAUUUAAAUACACAGUCAAAUUAACUGAAAACUACCAUUCCCCUGGUUAAGAUUAAGAGUUUUUAGUUUCGAAAGAAACACCAACUUCUAGGCUCGAAGGGGUUAACUAGGGAUUAAAUCCUUAACUCCUUGGUGUUUGGUGGAUUUGAAAUAAUGCAUUACAUCAUCAAAAAAGUUCUAUUCAAAAUCACACCAUAGCAAUUUUGGGUAUUUCGUUUUCAUCAUUCUCCCUCCAAUAUUUGCUUAAACAAAAGUUUGAUAAAGAAAAUAGUGAGACGAAAAAAUGUUGAUGUUUCUUAUUUUUGUUUUUGCAUAAAAAUGAAGGAUUAAUUCAAAAGAUGCAUGAUCAUUUCAUUAAUUUUACCUUUCAUAACAAACAACUUUAAAAUAAAAUAAAUGCUUAACAUGCAAGGAAAUUACAAAUCCAAAAUGUUAAAUGAUCAACAACGUCGAGGAUGCGCUUUUCUGUCUGAACCACUGACUCUAGGAUGUGCUCCCUGAAGUCUUCAAACUCAUUCGAGCGAGGGGUUGUCGUUCAUCAACAAAUACCUUUAAAGGCCACACAUUUGCGAUCAAUCAAUUUCUUCACUUUGGCCUUAAAUUCCCUGCAGUCCUCAAUCGAGUUCCCAUUGAUCUGACAUAAUAUUCGCAUUGCACAUCGGGAUCAUACCCAAGUGGGCAAGAUUGUGGAACCGGCUUAAGAGAUCUGGGAACCACCAGCGUGCUUUGAAUCAGACAUGGUAGUCAUUGACUAUAUGUCAUAGGAAUUUGGUUUAGGGGCGCAAUCAUUCUUUCCAAGUUAUUUUGUGAAUUGACUUGUCCAUGACUUGUGUUUAGAUACCCCCAACCCUGGGUUUUCCUAUUUGAAUGAGGACUAGUCCAUGGCUGCUGGUAUGGCACUCUGGGGAUUGUUGGUUUCCCAUAAGGAGUUUGUGUUGCCACUGCCGGUGCACUGUGACUGUAUUAGUUUCACCCUCUUACUUCUUCUUGAAGUUGGUAUGGGAUUCCUUCUCACUAGUCCGGCUACUCGAGGCGUCUUGGAUUUUUUCGCUUUUGAGGCCGCUCUCGAUGCAUCCCCCCACCAUCACCAAGUCAUAGAAACUUGAUGAUACACUCCCUAUAAUUUUCUCAAAAUAAGAUCCUUGUAGAGUAUCCAUGAACACGUCGACAACUCCCUCUCUAAAAUUGGCGGUUACACUCAAACUGCCAAUUCCUUCCACCGUUGUAUAUAUUCCUUGAAUGAUUUGUUGCUCUUUUGAGAUAAGUUUUGUAGUUGCAUGGGGGCCAUGGCGAUAUUGUACUUGUAUUGCUUUAGAAAGGAAUAAACUAGGUCCAUCCAUAUUGAAUACGACUCCUUUCUAACUCCAUGUACCAGCUCCACGAUUUUCCACUCAAACUAUGUUUUAAAAUAGUGAAUCAUCAGCUUAUCGUUACGGGUAUAUGAGGCCAUUUUUUGGCUGAAUCAUCAGCCUUGGGCAUCUAAGACCCACGCACUUCUCGAAUUCAGAUAUUUUGAAUAUCGAGGGUAUAACCAUGUUCAGCACCAAGCACAGGUCAAGAGCAUUCAUACCAAAAUCAUCAUGCUCUUUGAUCUGUUGUCGCACACGGGUCAAAAAUGAGUAAUUAAGAACGGUAGUCUAGGGAAGCGAAACUCGAGUAUCGUAUCGCAAGGACUCUUGAUAAAUUAGCCAAAUAAUAAAAAUAAAUAGGGGUUUUGAUUCGAUUAAGAAUAAGUGAUUAUAAAAAGUGAUUAUGAAAUAAGCUGAUCUACUGGUUUGGUUUCCUAACUUAUCAUUGGUUAACACAAUUUUUAUGCCCUAAGUGGAUACUAAUCCUUUUUUGAUUAUAGUAACAAUAACAAGUGCAUUAAUACUAAUAUAUGAUAUGUGUUUCUAAUUUCUGAAAUAAUUAAACAGAUUAUGAAUUAAGAAAACGGGUUAAGCACACGCGAGUUAAGAAAACGCGAUUAUGGAACAUAUAUCAAUCAAAAUUAAUCAACACAUAUUCUAUAGAACUUGAAUAAAGCAUACAAGACAUAGAACAAAAUAUUAAAAGGAAAAGGACAUUUGAUAGAAAAUUAGGAAACCUCAAAGUAUCGGUGGAAACUGAUUACAACAGAUCAACCUUGUGAACUUUAGUUCUCCAUGAAAUCUUCUAAGUAAUAUUGUAUCAUAUAAAUUCAGAAUAGGAUUCCUGUAUUGGUGAAAUACCUAAUAUAAUAAAAGGGAAAUUCGGGCUCUUAUGGGAUUCAACCCGAAAAUUACAAAAAUUGGCUCAAACUAACUAUUUUAAUUAAGUUUGGAACUUCAACGAAUUAUUUUAUCCUUUUUAAUCCCGAAUAUGCUUUUAACUUCAACAUGAAACUCGUAGUUCUUUCUCUUAGCUUUCCAACGCAUAUUAGAAUUCGUCAAUCCGACUCCUAUAGCUCAAGUUAUGAUAUGUAUAGUGAUAAGGUAUCAAAUAACUGCUUAUGCUGAAAAUAAAGUACGAAAAUAAAAUAAAGUCAAAAAUAAACAUAAAUAUAAAAGUACACUAAAAUAGUAAAAAUAAUAGAAUAAAUUGUAGAGUUGUCUAAGUAGAAUAGUAGAAAAAUAUGCAUCAAAAUGCACUGAUCACUCUUCUAUGGCUUUAAGUCUUUCAUCCAACACACAAUAUCUUCCAGCAGCCUCAACAUCAUGUGGUCCUUUGGUAUUCACCAUCGGGCUUUCCCCUCGAGGAUUUUGCAUAGAUAAUGUAAACUUAUGAUACUCAACAGAAUUAUGAGGUUAGGUAUUCCCAUCUUGGAAAGUGGGAUGCUCUCGUAUAGUAGGGUCCUCAACUGGGAUCCAAAUAGGUGGAGGUGGAGUAAGGUCGUUUACUUGAGGUGGAAUGACGUUCUCAAUAACUAUAUUUUGUUGAAUGUCGUCCUCUCUCUUAGCCAAAGAUAACAUGACCUCCAUAAUUUGGUCCAACUUGUUUUUUAUCAAGUUAACAUCUUCUCUUAAUGCAACUUGGUUUUGUUCCAACUGGUUCAUGAUCCUUUGAGAGUUGCUUCGAGUAUGAUAUGGGUGUCGACGAAUCAGCUUGCAGGUUAUGGACAAGGUCUAGAAUCAGUUUUUUGAUGUUGAAAAAUGAUAAGCAGGUUGAUGAAAUGUGAAUUCAUGAAUUUUUAUUUUUUUAUAUGUGUAGCGGUGUAUUCGUCGCUAUAUGAUUUAUUGAUUAAAUCACAAGCAAUGUAUACAGUGAAUAUAGAGUCGCCACCGCACUUUUAUUUAUCCUAAGGACUGGUUAAAAAGCGAACAAAAACCUAAGAAGUUUUAACACGUAGAAGACUAAUGAAAAGAUCAGAGAAUUGGAUAAGGGGUAAAUUACGCAAUGGAAGGUGUUAGGCACCCAUCACGUCCAAUAGGUACUCCUAGGAGCCCUUUUCACACUUUGUUGUUUGAAAAAUUAUUAUUUGUCAUGACAUAAGUAUUGUGCAAACAUGAUUGGGAUAAUGAGGAAAGAAUGUACAAUUAAUUAUUUUGUGUUUGAUGAUAACCAUUGCCUACGUACCUUUACAGGAUCAAAACCUCGUGUUCGGCUAAAAACUUCCAAAAGUUAGUGGAUUCAAUUUUAAAACACAAGCUCAAAGGUCUUACGUUCCCACGGGAGAAAACUCAACCUUAAGAAAACAACAAGUCCACCAUGUGGAAAAGCUUCAACUUGCUAGAGAGGGGUAACCCUAUAAUAAGCAAGGAAGACUUACAAUAUCAAUCAACUAAGGACAAAUAGGUGAGAUAAUAUCAACCAACUAGGGUAAAUCAAACUAUAGCUAAUGUAUGAAAACUUAACAAAACAUGGACAAAGCCAACAAAUCAUUUGAUGGGUGAAGUUUUUUUGGAUUAUUUACAAAAAGUUCAAAGUAUGAUUAAAGUCAAUUCAAAAAUGAAGUAUUUACAAAAAUGAAGUUUGGAAAAUCAUGGACUUAAGGUCCAAGUUUCUAAUUGGAAAAGAGGUGAGAAUGUUGCACAACACUUAUUUCAAGUUUUUUAAAGUAUGGUGUGAAAAGGUAGGACACAUGGGAUGAAGGAAUGGUGGAGUGAAUGUAAAACUUCUUAGGAGGGUCCACCUCUUGAAAUCAUUAUAGAAGAUGAUUCAAGUGGGUCCUUAGGAAUAGCUACAAAUGAGGCAAUAAUUGACUGGUAACAGAUGAAAGUCAAUAAGCGGAUACUGGAUGCCACUCAAUGGUCUUAUACCUAUCUCCUAAAACAGUAACGGAUAUCAGAGGCCACUCUAUGGGACUUACACUAAUUCAUCCAUCAGAUAUAAAAACAAAAACAAAACCAGGGAAAUCAACUGCCAAUCCAUCUGGACUAUGUUACCUCCACAGUAUGAUCCUGGAAUACAAAUGCCACAUCACAGGGGACUUACAAUGAAUCCUCACAUACAACAACAAUGCUCAAACAAAGAGCAAAGAAGAUAUGAGUGACCAAUGAGGUCUUACACUCUAUCUCUUCCAUGUCAUAGGAACAAACCAAUCAAUAUGGACUUACAAUUGUCCUCAGGGAAAACAUCAAUGUCACAAGGACAAAAGAACUGAUCAUGGCACUGAUGGCAAACAAAGAUGAUAAUGCACAACGGCAAUCAAUGAUAGUAAACGCCAAGGCAAUCAAGUAAUCAUGUAUAAAUGAAUCAAGUAAUCAUCACAUAAAUUCAAGUAGCACACACUAUAACCAUUCAAUGAGGCUCAAGCAAAGGUUUGAUACUAUGAAAGUCCACUGUAAGAGGUAAGUGUCGCUCUUAACCUUGCCAUUGAGGGGGCUAAGGUGAAGCAGAUAAAGGAAUGAGGGGUGUGCCUCAUUGCUCUAUCUCAGGUCCGAGAGAGCAUGUAAAUAUAAGAAUGUGGGAGUUCAAAACAAGAUGGGACUCUUCCCCGAUUGAAGACUCUAUAGACUUGGGUUUGGAUCUCAAUGCACAACCAGGUAAUGGGAGCAAGGAGAAAGCUCACAGAUAGUGGGAGAUAGGCACAUAUCUCUUAUAUCACCAAUUGCCUCUAAUGAGGACCUUUUCCUGCUUGGACAAACAUAAACAAUCACAAACAUGCCUCUUAAGGAGGACUUCAGACAGUUUUGCCCCGGCCAAAUAACAGGCCGGGUCUCCAGAACUACAUGAAGAAAGGGAGUCUACCUCAAUGCAAAUUGCUAUUUAAGCAAAGCAAUGCAAUUCUUAGAGAACUGAGCAACUAGGGGUACCUGAAAUCGUCAAAUUAAUCAGCCAUCCAACAUAAACAAAACAACAACAAUAAGAAUCAAUCAAAAAUCAACAAUGAUGUGCAUAGCACCAAGUCCAUGUGAACCAAGCACCCUACAAACAAACAAAUUAGUAUACAAUGAUCAAAGUAAACAACUCAAUUAUGAAUCACCUCCUUAAGGCAUUAGCUUUUUAACCUGAAAAAGUCAAAGUCAAGCUCAAACAUAAUAACAAACCACUAGGACAAGCCUAGGUCCAAAGGGAGGGAAAAAUCUUAAAAACAGCACGUAAGACAUGAUCAAAGUCAACAUUAAUCCCAUACAAAGAUAAUCAACUUGGUCUCGAUGUCUAAACAAUACACCAAAUUGAUUUCAUGUACCAUCUAAGUCACUAGGUAGUAAGAAUCACAUAUGCACAAGCAGAAUAAUUUCAAUUAAACCCAAACAAAGCAACUCAAUAAAUCUCACAAAAAAUUCAUAUCUAACCAGAACCUAUUCAGUGAGCUUACAUAUCAAUUUUCAUACCAUUUGAUAAAGGAACUCUUGGAAAUUAAAUCAACAUGUUAAGGCAUGCAAAAACACAACCACAUUAGAUACAAAUCACAUGUCAACUUAACAAAUUGUAAAACAGUGAUUAUCACAUGGGAAAUUAAUGGACCAAAGCCAAAGUGAAGCUUAAUAUGUCAGAAAACAACGGCUANUCUUGGGUUUGGAUCUCAAUGCUACAACCAUGUAAUGGGAGCAAGGAGAAGACUCACAGAAUAGUGGGAGAUAGGCUACAUAUCUCUUAUAUCCACCAAUUGCCUCUAAUGAGGACUUUUCCUGCUUGGGACAAACAUAAACAAUCACAAACAUUGCCUCUUAAGGAGGACUUCAGACAGUUUGCCCGGCCAAAUAACAGGCCGGGUCUCCAGACUACAUGAAGAAUAGGGAGUCUACCUCAAUGCAAAUUGCUAUUUAAGCAAAGCAAUGCAAGUUCUUAAGAGAACUGAGCAACUAGGGGUACCUGAAAUCAGUCAAAUAUAAUCAGCAUCCCAACAUAAACAAAACAACAACAAUAAGAAUCAAUCAACAAUCAAACAAUGAUGUGCAUAGCACCAAGUCCAUGUGAACCAAGCACCCUACAACACAAACAAAUUAGUAUACAAUGAUCAAAGUAAACAACUCAAUUAUGAAUCAACCUCCUUAAGGCAUUAGCUUUUUAACCUGAAAAGUCAAAGUCAAGCUCAAACAUAAGUAACAAGACCACUAGGACAAGCCUAGGGUCCAAAGGAGGGAAAAAUCUUAAAACAGCACGUAAGACAUGAUCAAAGUCAACAUUAAUCCCAUACAAAGAUAAUCCAAUUGGUCUCAUGUCUAAACCAUACACCAAAUUGAUUUCAUGUACCAUCUAAGUCAAACUAGGUAAGUAAGAAUCACAUAUGCACAAGCAGAAUAAUUUCAAUUAAACCCAAACCAAAGCAACUCAAUAAAUCUCACAAAAAUUCAUAUCUAACCAGAACCUAUUCAGUGAGCUACAUAUCAAUUUUCAUACCAUUUGGAUAAAAGGAACUCUGGAAAUUAAAUCAACAUGUUAAGGCAUGCAAAAACACAACCACAUUAGAUCACAAAUCACAUGUCAACUUUAACAAAUUGUAAAACAGUGAUAUCACAUGGGAAAUUAAUGGGACCAAAGCCAAAGUGAAGCUUAAUAUGUCAGGAAACACUCCACUAAAUUUCACAUUCAUAGGAUGAGGGAUGAGCAUUUAAUGACACAUGUGAAGUUUGUUACACAAGAAACAACCCAAAGAUGCUAAACAGCAAUCAAAAAUCCACAUUAAUUAGAAAAUGGAUCAAUUAUAUUUGCAAAAAUUCAUGUUGAAAGUUAACAUACACAUUGUCUCUCAUGCAAAAAAUCAGAGCCAUAGGCCUAAUGGAAGCAUGGUAAAUUAAUUCAUGAACUCAGCAUAUCAUAAUGUGACACAUUUUGUCACAUUCAAAAAGAAAAAAUCAUUUCUAGCAAUCCAGAGAUCCAAAAAUCACAAAUGAUAUACCAAAAUCUCCAGAAAUGUAUCAAGAAUCACCAUAUGAAAUUUCAAGAAUUUUGGAUAAUGUAUGAGAAUUUCACAUCAAAAAUGGCAAAAUGUGCACAAAUAUACCACAAGCCAAACAACCCUAGGUCAAACCAAUUUUUCACCAUGCACAACUUCAAAAAAUAUGUCCAUAAAAUUCUACAGGGAAUUUGGAAACCAUAGAAAAAAUCCUCAUAUUUUUCUGACUUUUAAAUUAUUUUUUAUGAAUUUUUUAAGAUGUUGGUGAUUUUUAAAUAAUUAUUUAGAAUUAAUAUUAAUUAAUUAAAUCUUCAAUGGCAGAGUGGUAAUUAACGUGCGCCAGGAUGAAACGCGGCCGUUUCAUUAAAAGCCGUGGCGUCUCGUGAUUGGCUCGGCGCGGCGGGAAACGCGUUUUCAAAUUGGCCAGGCGCGGAAGAGGAUCAAACCAAAGAAAAUUCCAGAAAAUCAUCGUCUUCCUCAACAUAUUUUCCAGAACAUCAAGAACACGAAGAACUACAAAACCUAACCAAAAUUCACAAACUCAUAUCCGUUGGAAAGGUCCUAAUGCGUAGAUCUCAAAUAUGCAAACGAUUUCAACCAAUUCUUCCUAAACAUUCCGGAUCGAGCGUUUUAAGUUUUUGCAUCGUUUCUUCUAAUCAACCUAACUCGAGCCACAGUUCACUAUUUCUAAAACCAAAGGUAUCGCGAUGAUCUACAUGAAACAUUCUAUAAAACGCACUUAAACAUUAAGGCAACGGUGUGUUUCGAUUUCUGACCUUGAUUUGUAGGCAGUGUCGAAACUGGAGAUUCCAAGGCGUUUUGAUGCGAAACAGAUGCGGUAGAAGCUCCAAGAAGUUGAAUGAUAUGAUCAGGUUCGAGUGAAUCCGCUUCUAAUGCACGAAAUCUUGAUUCACCAUAAUCGAGCUUCACUUGGACAGUUGGAGUUCUUGCUCGAUUUUCUUCUCAAUCUCUGCAAACAGUAAUUACACAAGACCUGUAGAUGAUGAAUUAACCAUGAAAUCGCACAAAGAUUAGUAAAAAUUGAUGAAUUGAUGCAAAAAGUUCUUGGUGAAAAAUGGAAAAAAUGAGAGACAUUGGGAGUUUUUGCUUUUGGAUCUGUGAUUGAUAUUCCAGUGUUGUUGAGUUUCUGCUUACACAUUAGGCUUAGUUAUAGGUUUGCUUUAACUCCAAUUCCUUAAUCAAGCAUUAGCCAAAAAAUGGGUGUAUUAGCAAAUGAGCUUAUGUGUGUAUUUGGCAUUUUUUGGCCCUUGGAUGCUAUGACAAUGGUACAGUAUGUUUCUCACGUUGAACAAGCCAGAUUCUCAUUUAGGAGCUUAAUGAUUGGUCCAUGUCCAUUGAUAGUACAUUCUCAAUUUCACUAUGUCAUUGGCACUUUUGUUCAUUUUUCAAGUUCAUUUUUCAAAGCCAAUUUCAAAACCAUGAAAGCCUGUAGCAUCGUUAUGAACAUUCCAACAAGUUUCCAAUGCCUUUAUGAAGUAGUUGCAAAUCUCCACUCAAAAAUUCCAAUUAUUUCCACAAGUUGGCACUUUGCCCCUUGGUUCUUUUAACUGUACAGUGAAUUUGCUUUUUGCAUUUGACCUUUUUUGAGAAUCAAUUAAUGCACAUAAAGUAAUGUCAAAUGGGUUUGUGCAUAUAAAGAACAUCCAAUUGUGGACAUCCAUGUGGAAUGUUAUCUGCCCUUCUGAUUAUGGGUCAUGUUUUGAAUUCACUGACCAUAAACUUGACAACCAUCAUGGAUUUUCAUUCUUGGACUUUUGAAUGACGUGAAGACAAGAUUCUUCACUUUCAUGUUGGACAAAUUUUGAAUUUGAAGCUUGUAUCAUGAAGUUAAACUUUGCAGAGCAAAUUUCCCAUUUUUGGGCAGGUGAGAUUACAAGUCAUUCCCAUUUUUGGGAAACUGCUUUGUCUGAGCUUCGAAGUUCCCUGUACGCUGAUCUUUAAAAAUGCCUAAAUGAGCUCUAUAUAGGACAUAAAUAGCUUCUUUCUAACCAUGCUCACACCCUCCAAUCCCUGAUUAAAUGCCAGUUGACCACAGUUUCUGACUUUUUGUUGACUGGGGCAAGUUUGCUGAUGAAAUUCCAAGCCUCAUUUCACAUGGGAUCUUGGUUUCCAAUGUAUAGCAAGGUUAUUGAACUCUUGUACUGAGAAGUGAUCUAGGAUGUCCAACGAUUCUCAAGAACUGACCACCAUCUAUAACUCCAAGUAGCCUGAUAAUUGACUGAUUGAGGCUUGAUGAGUUGCUCGAUCGUGCAAGCAAUCAUGGUUAGAUGACAAUAUUUUGUAGCUUUUGGUUUAGUAAACAUGAUGAAGAAGCAAUGAUUAUACAAUGCAAUACAUGGCUUGGUGAUCAGGAACCACACUCACAAGGUAACCCACCCAUUAGGAGGGAAGCUAGGGUAUGCAAUGAUCCUUGAGGCCAUGAUAUGAUAUGAUAUGGGCCAUGAGGGAUCUUAGGGCCAAAAUUGGGGUCUUACAAUAUGCAAGGAAAAUCCAAUUCCAUAUUAUGCAUGUUUUUGGUUUGUGAGCGAUAUGGUUCCAAACGAUUUGGGUACAGAUUUAUCAUGACAUAACGAUUUUGACUGCUUUUCACACAAUGGUCACACCAGGGGUGGCUCUAGGGUUAAAUAAGGUUCCUAAGGUCAUGGAUCCUUCUUAAGAAUAUUGUCAUCAAUAGCAAAUUACUUGUUAGCCAACAAUAUUCCCGAGAGGGUCUACCUUAGGUGAGGUUUUCAUGCCAACCCAAUGAGACAAGUAAGUCAAGCAAGCCAACACUAUGUAACCAUCAAUUAUUAGGUUCUAUGGAUCCUUCUCAGAAAUAUUUCCCUCAAUAGAAAAUUACUUGCUAACUAGCAAAUACUUCUUAUAGAAUCUCUUUUGAGCGAGACUUUCAUGCCAACCCAACGAAACAGGUACGUCAAAAAGGUCUAUACUAUGCAACUAUCGAUCUUAAUAGCCAUGAGUUUAAGGUUCUAAUAAAGUUCUUAGAGUCAUGGACCCUACCUGAGAAUAUUGUCAUCAACAACAAAUUACUUGCUAGCCAACAAUAUUCCCAAGAGGACCUACUAUAAGUGAGGUUUUCAAGCAAACCCAACGAGUCAAGUAUGUCAAGCAAGUAAACAUUACGCAACCAUUCUCCUAUAUUAUGUUAAUUUUCUCAAGAUUUAGGUGUAGCGCCUUUCUUUCAAUGUGUUCAAGCAAUCAGAGUACCCAUCACAAAAUACGAUAACCAUACAAUAGGUAGGUAAACAAUAACAACAUAAAAAAAGGUGAGAGAAUAAAAGAUGGUAGAAGAAAUCAAAAUAAAAAAUCUAUCAUUCAUCACAAAGCUAACUAAAUUAGACUUGACUCUCUUGAUAGUCCCUGUAAGACCCUAAUUUUGACCCUAAGAUCCCUCAUGGCAUCAUAUCAUUGCUCAUUGCAUUGCCUCAAGGAUCAUAACAUGUGUGGCUCCUUAACCCUAGGGGUUGGGACUUGUGUGAGUUGGUUUGAGACAACCAAGCAUGCUUGAAUUGUAUAAUAUUUGCUUUUCUUAAUUUUUUUUACUAACCAAAAGCACAAAAAUAUGUCACUAACUCUUUUUGUUUUGAAGCUCAAGUGAUCAUGUACUCCCAUGCUCCUAGGAGGCUCCUAAGCUCAUUGAAGUGGCUAGAUGAAGAUGAGAAAAAAUAUGUCACUAACUCUUUUUGUUUUGAAGCUCAAGUGAUCAUGUACUCCCAUGCUCCUAGGAGGCUCCUAAGCUCAUUGAAGUGGCUAGAUGAAGAUGAGAAAAAGCAUGACAAUGGUCCACAAAGUUCUUAAUCAUCAUAUAUGUCUCCCAAGUAUCUCAAUUUGCCAAUUUUAUCAAGAUAACCCAAAGGGCUUGAGGAUUGUUUCCCAAGGAAACCCUAGUUCAACUGUGCAUUGACUGUGCCUUGCUCAUGAAGCAACCUCAACCUAUGAUCAAAUUUAAUCAAGGGAAGUUAUUUCAUUCAUUAUUUUAUGCAUAUAUGAGCCUAUGUGAAUAUCCUAAAUCACUCAUUCAUCAUGAUUUGAAGUUUGGCCUUGAGAAGUUGACCAGUCAAAUCAUCUAACUAAACCGAGGAUCAUUGAAACACAACUUGUGAUGUGUUUGUCAAAUGAAGAUGACCCCAAGAGAAACAUUAUUUCUAAGAACCAUAUGAAAAACUUUUAUGUUCAUCCAAAAUCCAUUUGAAACUUGGAAGGUCAUCAUUAAUUUCAAAACAUUAUAGGUCAUUUUGAUUGAAACCCUAAUUUUGGAUCAACUUCCCAAAGACCUAACUUCUUUAAUUUUUAUGAUUUUGAGGUGAGACCAAAUGCAUUGGAAAUAUUAAUAUAUCUAAUUAAAUUGUUAUGUUGGACAAAAGUUCAUAAUCCUAAAACAAACACAUGUGAUAAUGCAAAACAUUAUAGGUCACUUUGGACCUAAGUCAUUGAAUUUGAAAAAUGUCCAACUUCAAGUGCCCAUAACUUUCUCAUUAAAAAUCCAAAUGAUGAAAACCUUAAGUCUAAAUUGAUCACCUUGAAAAUAUCUACAACUUUGAUGUUGGAGGUGUUCCAUUUGAGGCUUGAAUAAUUGAAAUAUAAGGGUUUGAAGUUGUUUGGUUUUGGCAAAAAAAUUCAAAGGAAACCUAGACAUGUUUUGUACCCCAAACUUCACAGCCAGUUUUCAUAAAUUUCCAAACUCUAAAUAGAUUUUUUCCCAAAAUAAAUUUUGUUCCUUAUUCCAAGAGAUUUCCAACCAUUACUCAGAUGACCAUUUUCGGAUUUUUAAUGUGGGAGUUUCGAAGGGCUUAAUGCUUAUGUUCAUUUAUGCAAUUCACUUUGAAACUUCAUGUGCAAGCAAAUGCAGCUCCAAUUACACGUCCAAUUCACUUGCAUAUGAGUUCAAAAUGGAUUCCCAUUCACUUUUGGGCCUCACAUGCGCCUGUACAGGCCCAUGCAUGGAGGAUCCAAAAUUCAUGCACACGAGGGAAAGCAAGCAUUGCAUCAAGUUCAGCUAUAAAUAGAAGUUCCUUGAGCUUCAUUCCACAACCUGAAGGAGAUCUGAAACGCUGCUGGAUUGAAAACCAAACCCUCACUCAAAGGAAUUUCAAUUUUCAUUUUCAAUUUCAAGCUUGAAUUUCAACAUCAUUAGUUGAUCUUCAAGUCUUAAUUCCUUAGCCUUGCAUCAUCAUUACACUUCCAAAACAAGAUUGGAUCAAAAGCUUGAAGAACUCGUGUUGUUUGAAGCUGCAUUUCAGAGGUAGAACCUCAAUUUUUCUUGAUCUAGAUCUUGCUAUAUGAUGUGAAUUCCUUGAGUUUUUGUUGUUUUCUGAAGUCCUCAAGCAUGAGGCAGGCCGGUGGUGGUCUCAAUUUUACAAAUCGUGCCAUUUCAGAUCAAACAUCAUGAUCUUCAAGCUCAUGUUUCUCCUUAAAUAGGAACAUUGAGGAGAAUCCAUGGUUACAGGGGUGAUGUACAUCACCCCAACUUCAUUUUGAUACCUUGCUUUUUCAUUUUCAUUGAAGUUGAAAUCCCUGCACGUGGUGGCCGUAAUCAGUUGGAUGGCCGGAGAAGAUGGUGUUUUCCAUCACCAAACCCAUGUGGGAGCCUCUCAUCCCUUGGAUCUCUCUCAAAUGUUUUAAUCAUGGCCUUGCAUUGUUAUGACUUGUUUUAAUUCAAAAUGUUGCGCGCUUGAGUUUGGAUCAUGGUGUGUCUGCGCCUCUGAGCCUUAGGAUCAAUGCCACGUCAAUUAAUGAAAAGAUCCAAUGGCAGCGCAUUUUUGUUAUUUUCUGAUUUUUGUUUUAAUUUCAUUUAAUUCCUUUUAUUUUCAAAAAUUCAUAAAUAUUUUAUUUGAAGUCACAAAAAAAAUGAAAAGAUCCAAUGGCAGCGCAUUUUUGUUAUUUUCUGAUUUUUGUUUUAAUUUCAUUUAAUUCCUUUUAUUUUCAAAAAUUCAUAAAUAUUUUAUUUGAAGUCACAAAAAUAUGAGACCAAUGUCAAUUUUUUUUUUGAAAAAUCUAGUUUCAUAUUUUGAUUUUUAAUUAUUUUUGUGACUUCAUUUAAUAUUUUUUGUGAAUUAUUUGGUUUUUAUUAGUUUUAAUUCAUUUUAAAAUACUUUUUGACAUCUCAAAAAUCCAAAAAUAUUUUCUAAACACAUAUGAUCAUGAUAAGUCAAUGAAAAAUGGUCUCAUCAAUUUCUUAAUUGAUUUGAAUUGAAUUUGAGGUUUGACCAUAUUUUGUCGAUUUUAAUUUUACAUUUAUUUUUAAUUCAAAAAUACCAAAAAAAAUAUGUUUGACUUAUUGACUUCUAAUCUUCAUUUCUCUUCUGUUUAGCUUUGGUUGAUGAUGAUUUGAUUCACAUUUGACCAAUUGUGUUUGACACUUGAAUUCUUUCUCCAUUCAUUUCAUCUCCAUCUCAUUUUCUUUUUAUUUUGGCCAAUGAGUUAAUGUCUUAUGGUUGGUCUUGACAUAUGAGAGGUUUAACCUUCUUUGAUCUAAAUCAAACUCAACUUGAUCCAUGAUCAAGUGAGUUACUUUGUGUCCAAGAUAGGUUGCUUCUUGGUCAAGCAAAAAAACCUAAAGUCCAUACAAGGUCUUUCUUCUUUUCUUUUGGCAUGGCAAGUUGUAGGAGCUUGGCUUACUAGUCAUGAUCUCUACCUUGUGUUUAUUUGCCUAUAGUUUUAUUGACCGGCCUCAGAUAGGUGCGCCUACUACUUUAGUCCACUUACGAUUGCUUAACAUAGCGCUACAUUGUCUUAUGACAAACUAAUAUAACUAUACUAACUACUAACUUUAAUUUGAGCAUUUAAUUUCUUGCAAUUUACUUUAACGCAAUUUACUUCUUGCUCAUUUAUUCACAUUGCCUUUUCAUUUUGCUCACUUGAACACAUAUUUUAUGUUUAUGUUAUUUUCCUUUUUUCUCAUUUGAGCUCAUUAUUGUAAAUAAAUAUAUUAUUGUAUUGUGUUUGUUUUGUCUUUGUGUGAACCUAAUGCAAAAGGAGAAAGGACUUAGAAUUAGGACUUACCUAUGCUUAAAGGAGUUCAAGAGCAACUAGGCCUCAUGCCUUUAGAAUGCUAAAUUUCAAAGUUGACUUCAAAGGACUUCCUUUACAAAACUCAUUCUUUGUCCAUUCUUCUUAUUGUGUUGUGAACUUUUUGAUGUUUGUUCUUGUGUGAUAGGGAUUCCUUCUUGAGAUAGUAAGAAGGACCAUUGUCAUGAGUAGCCAAGUUAAGAGAGACAAGCCAAAAGGAGAUCCUAGGAUCUUGAAUCUAUAAUUGUGUGAUUGCUUGUUGUGUGCUAAGUCCAAAGGAAAGGAGCAUCUUGAAUCAUCUCUAUGAUUUCAAGAGAAGGAACUCCAAGGGUUUGAUCCUCUCUCUUUAUCUUUGUACGCCUUAGGAAUAUCUCUUCUCUUCUUCUCUCCACUCUAACCCAAGCCAAACUCUUUUUGUGCAAACUUUGACAUUGUUUUCAAAUUAGAAACCUAGGCCUUAUGCCUUUGACUUUUCAAAUCUUUUCAUUUUAUGAGUAACACUUAUUUGGAAUUAGGUUGAAAUUGGAGUAUUUGUAAAUAAACUUAACUUGUAAAUACAACUCACUUCAAGUUGUUUUUGUGGUUCCAAUGGCCACCUUUGUUAAAACUUUUCACAAACAUUACUCAUAGGUUUGAGUUAUCAUAGUGGUUGAUGUAAAUCUCACCUCAUCCUUAGUGAUUGGACUAUAAGUCUUCCAUACUUAUUAUAGAGUUAACCCCCCACUAGUAUGUUGAAGCUCUCCUCACAUGGUGGAUUGUUGGUUUAGGUUGAGUUUUCUCCCUUUGAUAACAAAAGACCUUAAGACUUUUGAUCAAAUCAAUUCACCAAUCUUUGUGAGUUUUACCCCGAACUACGAGGUUUUGAUCCUACCUUUGUGAUGGUACGUAGGAAAUGGGUUCAUCCAUUCAAACAACAAAAUUGUAAAUAUAAUUUAUUCUCUCCUCAUCCCCCCAAUCUGUUUCACAUAUUUUCACAAAUACCAACCUACAACACAUAUUUAUAAAAAGAAGUUCCCUUAGAGUACUAAAGAUGUUUUGGGCGCGUAAAACCUUACCAUUUCAUAACCAACCCCCUUACCUAGAUCUCUGACAUUUUUAUUAGUUUUUUAUUUGAUAAAACUUCUUAUUGGGCUUUUGUUCGCUUUUUAGCCUUUCCUUUGGAUAAAUAAAAGUGCGGUGGCGACUCGAAUUGUAUGUUUACUUUUGGUUUAGUCAAUAAACCAUAAGGUAACGAAUACCCCGCUACAGAAAAGUGGCGACUCUGCUGGGGAAGCUGAUAACUUCCUAGCGGGUUUAGCCUACUUUUUGCUUGUAUGUGCUGUAUGAUUAUAUUUAUUUUGUGACAUAUUUUUGUGCAAAUUUGGGAUGACUGUAUUGUUUGUAAUGUAUGAAUUGUUUGAUAUACUAAUUGCUUGUGUGCUUGGUGGUUUCUUGUGAGAUGAGUUCCAUACCCGAACUCGAGUGCACUUAUGAUAGGAGAAUGGCAUAGUCCGUUUGACUUGUGUAGAGUUAUUCCUUAGCAAGUUGACUUGCAAGCCCAUUCACUUGGUGUAGGUCUUGUUGGGAUCAAUAAUGUCACACGAGUAGUCAUGGUUACACAUUACUCUUUCCAAUAUAAACCUUAGAAGCCAAGGACCUUAGAUACCUAGCCCAUCUUUGCCUAUUUUAGGACGCAGUGCGAAGGUCAUUCAAGUGUAAGACUUGAGGCGAUUGUUACGCGAUAAUACACUCAUAAGAGUCCCUCUUGAGAAUAUUUUUGGAAUACGAGUAGUCAUUUUAUCCGAUAAUAUCCGAAAGAUGAGAUGAUGACUAUGGGAACCUUUGUUAGAACAUGAUUGUCAGGUUUAACCAUAGUACACUCCCUUUGGGUGGUACUUAACCGAGACUCCAUGCUCGUGACUUACAACAAACCCUUGAUUCACGGUUGAUCCGUUCUCGUAUAUUCUCAAUAUUAAUGGAACUUAGGUGUUGAUAAGGUGUAAACAAUAAUCCACCAAAAUGGAUGAUUGAUAUUGACGGUGACAUGAGACAUCCCGUGACCUUUGUAUGGUGUGACUUGCUUGAUCCUUGAGUGUGAUUGUUGCAUCCAUGCAUUCAUGCAUUUAUAUGCAUCCAUAUCAUCAACAAUAAAGAAUUUCAAGGAACUUAAGAGGUCUAUUUGCAAAUUUUCAGACAUGGAUAAGCAAAGAAGGAAUACGAAGAAGUACUGUUUUAGACAACCCGACUUGAAAGAGUUAAGGAGUUUGACAUCUUAUGUAUUAGAGCCUUUGGAGUUCAAAGCUCGCCAUGGGAAGCUCUUGUAUAUUCUUUCUACCCAGGUGGAUGAAGGUCUGAUGAGUGUGUUGGUGCAGUUCUACGAUCCCUUGUAUCGGUGCUUCACUUUUCCGGAUUUACAGCUUUUGCCUACACUUGAGGAGUAUGCUUAUCAUGUGGGUGUACCUAUCUUGGAUCAGUUGUCGUUUAGUGGUUUGGAGAGGGUUCCUUCUUCCCAAGAGAUUGCUGACAUGCUUCACAUAGAUGUCUCUGACAUUAUAGCUCAUAUGACUACCAAAGGUGGAAUUCAAGGUGUCCCAUCUGAUUUUCUCAUUGCCGAGGCUACUUUGUUUGGGAAGGCCAUGAGUGAGGAUGCCUUUGAAGCCAUAUUUGUACUUCUCAUCUAUGGGCUAGUGUUAUUCCCCAACAUCGACAAUUUUGUGGAUGUGAACGCUAUUAGGAUCUUCUCUUCUCUUAAUCUCGUUCCGACUCUGUUGGGUGACACUUAUUUCUCUUUGCAUAUGAGGAAUGCAAAAGGUGGUGGUGCCGUUGUGUGCUGUCUGCCUCUAUUGUACAAGUGGUUUAUUUUGCAGUUGUCUCAGACGCUCACCUUCAAGGAGAACAAGGGAUGUCUACGGUGGUCCACGAGACUUAUGUCUCUCACUAAUGAUGAUAUCUUUUGGUAUAACCGUGUGUAUGAUGGCGUUCAGAUUAUUGAUUCUUGUGGUGAAUUCUCCAAUGUGCCUCUUCUUGGUACAUGUGGUGGAAUUAACUACAACCCUGUUUUGGCUUGCCGUCAGCUUGAGUUCCCCUUAAAGGAUAAACCUAAUAACAUUUUGUUAGAAGGUGUGUUCUUUCAAGAGGGUAAAGAUCCCCAGAACUUGAAGGAUAGGAUGGUUCGUGCCUGGCGCAAGGUUCAUAGGAAGGGAAGGAAGGAGCUUGGUCCGAAGAAUUGCAUUGCUUUGGAACCCUACACCGCUUGGGUGAGGAGGAGAGCUCUCGAGUACCGUAUGGCAUACGAUUAUCCGAGACCUACCCCUAUGGUUAUGGUUGGGCCUUCAACCCUCCCUAACCAAGGAGUAGAGGAGUUGAGAAAUGAAGACCGAUCGCGUGCUUGGGUUCGUGAGCGAGAGGAACUUCUUCAGUAACUCAGAGAUAAGGAUGCAGUGAUAGAAUUUCUAGAGCAUCAGGUUAUUGAUGAGCCUGAUGAUGUGGUUACUUCUCUUCUUCCUCAGUCAUCCAGGUUUUGGAAGAGGAAGUAUGAUCGACUCGCCAAGGAGAAGGCCGACAUGGAAGCCGCUUAUGAGAGAGAAGUGAAGAGGCUUCGUGCAGCUUAUCUUCCGAUUUCGAGGGCUUUGAACGAUUGUUUCUAAGGCUCCAUAGGAUGUUCAUUCUCCUUUUCUCUUGUAUUGUAUUUGGUUACCAAAACUGUACUACUUCAUUGGUGUAAAAGUUUCCAAAUAUUAUUGCCAUGAGUAUUGCAUAUAUGUCUUAAAAGAUUAAUAUUUUCAAAUAUUUGCAAAUAGAUCUCUAUAAAGUUCCUCUGAUAAAAAUAAACCAUAUGCACAAACAUUGCAUGCAUCAUAUGCAUAAGAAGGUUUUGUUCUAAGCUCUUGAUCAGUGGUCUAACUCUCUGCUCUUCAUUUAUUUUGAAGACAAGUUGACGCACUGGUAUAAUACAAGGGCCAAUCAUCCAAGGAUAAUGGAGCAUUUAGAGCAAGAGAACAGAGAGCUAAAGGAAGAGAUUAAUAGGUUGACUGCCAUGAUGGAGUCAGUUCUGGCCGCCCAGAGCCAAGCCUCACCAACUCCUGCAACUCCUCCCGCGAGGACUGUUAUUUCUAAGGUUGCUACCUCGACUGUUCCUGCUGCAACAGCCCAUUUCGCUCCAUCUAUGCCAGCCGGGUUCCCAUGGGGAAUGCCUGCUAACUUUGUGCCUGAGGGUUUUUCUCCUACUCUCUCUUCUCUGCCGGCACCUAACCCGGUCCUAUCUGUGCCACCUCCCGUUAUACACACCCUUCCCCAAGUUGAAGACACCAUCUUUCACUCUGAGCCGUCUGAGGGUCCGGACGUUUAUGAGAAGAUGGACGAGAUGAAAGACCAAUUCCUUGAGCUGCACAAGGAACUGAAGACUCUGAGGGGCAAGGACCUCUUUGGUAAAAGUGCUGCUGAGUUGUGCCUAGUGCCUAACAUGAAGAUCCCUAUUAAAUUUAAAGUACAUGACUUUGAGAAAUAUAAGGGAAACACAUGCCCGCUCAGCCAUCUUGUGAUGUAUGCUCGCAAGAUGUCAACACAGACAGACAAUGACCAACUGCUCAUCCACUACUUCCAGGACAACCUGUCAGGCGCUGCGCUUCGGUGGUACAUGGGGCUAGAGAGUGCGAACAUCCGCUCUUUCAACGAUCUUGGUGAGGCCUUCGUCAACCAAUACAAAUAUAAUGUGGAUAUGGCUACUGAUAGGGACCAGUUGAGGGCGAUGUCGCAGAAGGAUAAGGAGACCUUUAAAGAGUACGCCCAGAGAUAGCGAGAGUUGGCAGCUCAGAUAGUGACACCCCUAGAAGACUUAGCACACAGAUAUUUUUGAAGACUUUGAUCUCUUUCUAUUAUGAAAGAAUGAUCGCCAGUGCUCCCUCAGACUUCACCGAAAUGGUGAAUAUGGGGAUGAGAUUGGAGGAAGGGGUCCGUGAAGGACGAUUGUCAAGGGAUGAUGGUUCCUCAGCAAAGAGAUAUGAGGGCUUUGCUAAGAAGAAGGAGGGAGAGACACAUGUUAUAUCCUCUCACAUUAAAAGAAGACCCUCUGUAAGGAGGAAGGACGUGCUCCCUGCCAUCAACCAAUACCAGGUUGCUCAUAUAGCACCUGCUUUUCGAGAAGUUCAUCAUCAAUAACAACAACAACAUCGUCAACAACAGCAGGCCUACCAGCCUCGAAACAAUAAUAACACCAGAUCCAUCAACUACGAGAGGAAGAGGGUCACUUUUGAUCUGAUUCCGAUGACAUACGCUGAACUCUAUCCUUCUUUGAUCGAUAGAAAGCUGAUUACUCCAUGAGAUCCUCCCGCUGUACUAACCAACCCUCAGUGGUGGUAUAAGCCAGAACUGCAUUGUGUAUAUCAUUCUGGUGCUCCCGGACAUGACGUGGAAAAUUUUUACCCACUGAAGAACAAGGUGCAAGACCUUGUGAGAAGUGGUAUUUUGUUUUUCGAAGACGUAGGUCCUAAUAUGAAGAAGAACCCAUUGCCCGAGCAUGGGAAAGCUACUGUGAAUAUCGUCCAGGAUUGCCCUGGCAAAUAUAAAGUCCUGUAUGUUAAUGACAUAAGGCAAUCUUUGAUCGAGAUGCACAAGCUAUUAUGUGAACACAACCACCACGAGCAUGACCAUGAUAGGUGCCAGGUGUGCACUAUCAAUGAGACAGGAUGUCGACAAGUAAGAAAGGACAUUCAUGAGAUGCUGGAUCAGGGAAUGAUUGAAAUAAUUCAGAAUCGCAAUGAGGAUGAAGUUAAUGUUAUCUCCCCUGUAUUCAGAAUCCCAGAGCAUGUUGUCGUCAGUAUGAUGGCAGCAAGAAGAAGGUAUCUCCAGCUCUUGUGAUCAAGCUAGCGGGUCCUGUCCCUUAUUCGUCAGACAAGGCUCUUCCUUACAGAUACAAUGAUGUGAUGCUAGAAGAUGGGAAGGAGGUGUCGUUGCCCUCAACCUCUAUUGUGAGAAUCUCAGACGUCAGUGGUGUGACCCAUAGUGGUCGUGUUUUCUCGGCGCAGUCGAAACCCCAUAAAGACGUUGUGAAGAAAGCUAUUGUUAAUCCUGCUGGUCCCGUGGGGACUUCUUCUUCUAACAAUCCUACUCCUGUUGUGAAGGGUGUUGACCCUGUUGUUGCUAAGAAUAAUAGCACUCCUAUCCAAGUUGGCCAGUCUGGCAUUGUAAGAGAGGAUAGUGAUGAGAUAUUGAGGCUCAUCAAAAGGAGUAAAUACAACGUUGUUGAUCAGCUGCUACAAACUCCAUCAAAGAUAUCUGUGUUAUCUUUCUUGAUGAAUUCUGAGCCACACCGUGAAGCUUUGCAAAGGGUGUUGGACAUGGCAUACGUGGACCACGAUGUCACAAUUGAACAGUUUGAUAUCACUGUUGCAAACAUAACCGCUUGCAACAAUAUGAGCUUCUGUGAUGCUGAUCUUCCGGAGGAGGGAAAAAACCACAAUUUGGCCUUACACAUUUCAAUGAACUGUAAGGAUGAUGCCUUAUCCAAUGUGUUGGUGGACACAGGAUCAUCACUUAAUGUGUUGCCAAAAUCCACUCUGGCUAAACUUUCAUACCAGGGGCCUCCCAUGAGGCAGAGUGGAGUGGUUGUUACGGCGUUUGAUGGAUCGCGCAAAACCGUGAUCGGUGAAUUAGAAAUCCCGAUCAAGAUUGGACCUAGUGAUUUCCAGAUCACUUUCCAGGUCAUGGAUAUUCAUCCGUCUUACAGUUGUUUUCUUGGCAGACCAUGGAUUCACGAGGCAGGCACCGUGACAUCCACCCUACACCAAAAAUUGAAGUUUGUGAAAAACAAGAAGUUGGUGGUGAUAGGGGGAGAGAAGGCUCUCUUGGUCAGUCAUUUAUCUUCCUUUUCCUAUAUUAAUGUUGAGGAUGAGGUUGGGACUCCGUUCCAAGCCUUGUCUAUUGUUGAGCCUUCAAGGAAAGGACUUUCUUCAUUUGUCUCCUACAACAAUGCAAAGUUGGCCAUUGAGCAUGGUGCAACUACUGGUUUGGGGAAAAUGAUCAAGUUGGAAGAUAAUAAGUCCCGAGCUGGCAUAGGAUAUUCUUCCGGUGUUUCUAAUGAGCAUGGGUUAUUCCAUAGUGGAGGUUUCAUCCAUAUUGUUGAAGAUCAGGAAGCUGCUGCCAUUGUUGAAGAUGAUGAAGAGGAAGACCUUGGCAACUUUGUCAUCCCUGGAGGAAUCUGCAAUAAUUGGGCUGUUGUUGAUGUUCCAACAGUUAUCCACAAGUCAGCGUAAUAUGUUCAUUUUGUUUAAAAACCCUUCUCACAUGCCAAAAGGAGAAGUGAUGACAUUGUUGGCACAUUUUGAUUAAUAUAAUGAUGCUCAUUCAAUAAUCACAUGUUAAAUGUUUGUUUUUCAAAUUAUUUUUCCUUUUUGCAUGAAAUUGGUGAUCACCAUAAAAUCCUAAAAAGAGAAUAAAAUCAAUCUUUUCAUCUGCAUAAUGAUUUGCCUUGUUUGAAUUCGGAAAUCUCUUUUAUACUCAAAAUCAUUAUGCAGGUUGAUCAAACCCAUUGAACAUAAUGAUCCAACACCAUCUCCGAACUUUGAGUUCCCUAUAUUUGAGGCAGAAGAAGAUGAUGUUGAAGAGAUUCCUGAUGAGAUUACCCGUCUGCUUGAGCACGAGGAAAAGAUCACUCAGCCGCAUCUUGAGAAUCUGGAAACAGUCAACUUAGGGUCUGAAGACUGCGUUCGUGAAGUAAAGAUUAGGGCACUCCUUGAAGAGUCUAUGAAGAAGGGGUUAAUUGAGUUACUACGAGAAUAUGUCGACAUCUUUGCCUGGUCGUAUGAAGACAUGCCUGGUCUAGAUACUGAUAUCGUGCAACAUUUCUUGCCAUUGAAACCUGAGUGUGUGCUUGUGAAGCAGAAGCUUAGAAGAACUCAUCCUGAUAUGGCAGUGAAGAUUAAAGAAGAAGUUCAAAAGCGAAUUGAUGCAAGCUUUCUGGUGACUUCUACAUAUCCUCAAUGGGGGGCCAAUAUUGUGCCUGUGCCUAAGAAAGAUGGAAAAGUCCGAAUGUGUGUGGAUUACCGGGACUUGAAUAAAGCAAGUCCAGAAGAUGAUUUUCCUCUACCACACAUUGAUAUGUUGGUAGACAAUACAUCUAAAUUCAAUGUCUUCUCAUUUAUGGACGGAUUUUCCGGUUAUAAUCAGAUUAAAAUGGCACCCGAGGAUAUGGAGAAGACAACAUUCAUCACACCUUGGGGAACAUUCUAUUAUCGAGUGAUGCCCUUCGGUUUGAAGAACGCCGGAGCCACAUAUCAACGAGCUAUGACUACCUUGUUUCAUGAUAUGAUGCACAAGGAGAUUGAGGUAUAUGUUGAUGAUAUGAUUGCAAAGUCGAAAACGGAAGUUGAACAUGUAGAACACUUGUUGAAGCUUUUCCAACGUUUGAGGAAGUAUAAAAUCAGCCUGAAUCCGAACAAGUCUACAUUUGGAGUCUGUUCCGGCAAGUUAUUGGGCUUUAUUGUCAGUGAAAGAGGUAUUGAAGUUGAUCAUGCCAAGGUCAAAGCAAUACAAGAGAUGCCUGCGCCCAAAACUGAGAAGCAAGUCCGAGGUUUUCUUGGCCACUUGAAUUACAUUUCGAGAUUUAUAUCCCACAUGACUGCCACAGGUGCGCCUAUAUUCAAGCUCCUCCGGAAAGAUCAGCGUCAUGAUUGGACCGAGGAUUGCCAAAAGGCCUUUGACAGUAUCAAAGAGUAUUUGUCUAAGCCUCCGAUUCUAUCUCCGCCUGUCGAAGGGAGACCAUUGAUUAUGUACUUAACCGUGCUUGAUGAUUCCAUGGGUUGCAUCCUUGGUCAGCAAGAUGAAUCAUGGAAGAAAGAGUAUGCAAUAUACUACUUGAGUAAGAAGUUUACUGAUUGUGAGUCUCGGUACUCAAUGCUUGAGAAGACAUGUUGUGCUUUGGCUUGGGCCGCUAAGCAUUUACGACAAUAUAUGUUGAACCAUAUGACUUGGUUGAUAUCCAAAAUGGAUCCAAUCAAGUAUAUCUUUGAAAAGCCUGCUUUAACUAGGAGGAUUGCCCGUUGGCAGAUGUUGUUAUCUGAGUAUGAUAUUGAGUAUCGAGCUCAAAAAGCUAUCAAAGGAAGUAUCUUGGCUGACUAUUUGGCACAUCAACCAAUUGAAGAUUAUCAGUCUGUUCAGUACGACUUCCCCGAUGAGGAGAUUCUAUAUUUGAAGAUGAAAGAUUGCGAUGAGCCUACGCUCGAUGAAGGGCCAGAGCCUGGUUCCCGAUGGGGCAUGGUGUUCGAUGGUCCUGUUAAUCAGUAUGGAAAUGGUAUUGGGGCAAUGAUUAUUACUCCUCAAGGAACACAUUUUCCUUUUACAGCAAGGCUAACUUUCAAAUGCACAAAUAAUAUGGCGGAGUAUGAGGCCUGUAUUAUGGGUUUGGAAUAGUGUAUUGAUCUUAGGAUCAAACAUCUUGAUGUUUAUGGUGAUUCGGCCCUUGUUGUUAAUCAGAUUAAGGGUGAAUGGGAGACGAAUCAGCCUGGCCUCAUCCCAUACAGAGAUUAUGCAAGGAGGAUUUCAACUUUCUUUACUGAGGUUGAUUUCCAUCAUAUUCCUCGAGAUGAGAAUCGGAUGGCAGAUGCUCUUGCUACGCUUGCUUCAAUGGUUUUUGUCAAGUAUUGGAAUGAAGUCCCCAAUCUUACUGUGAUGCGCUUGGAUAGACCAACUCAUGUGUUUGCAGUGGAAGAAGUGAAAGAUGAUAAGCCAUGCUAUUAUGAUAUCAAGUGCUUUCUCAAAGUCAGACUUACCCGCCUGGGGCAUCUGUUAAAGAUAAGAAGACUUUGAGGAGAUUAUCUGGAAGUUUCAACCUUAAUGUUGAUGUGCUUUAUAAAAGGAAUUUCGAUAUGGUUCUGCUCAGAUGCGUGGAUAGACACGAAGCAUACAUGUUGAUGACUGAAGUCCAUGAGGGUUCAUUUGGUACUCAUUCCAAUGGACAUGCUAUGGCAAAGAAGAUGUUGAGAGCAGGCUACUAUUGGCUGACAAUGGAGUCUGAUUGCUGCAAAUACGUGAAGAAAUGCCACAAGUGUCAGAUCUAUGCGGAUAAGAUUCAUAUUCCCCCGACACUUCUAAAUGUUAUUUCCUCACCAUGGCCUUUCUCCAUGUGGGGAAUUGACAUGAUUGGCAUGAUUGAACCAAAGGCGUCGAACGAUCACCGUUUUAUUCUCGUAGCUAUCAAUUACUUCACCAAGUGGGUUGAAGCGGCAUCAUAUGCGAAUGUGACUAGGUAGGUGGUUGUAAAGUUUAUCAAGAAUCAACUCAUAUGCCGCUAUGGUGUGCCAGACAAGAUCAUUACUGAUAAUGGAUCUAACCUGAACAACAAAAUGAUGAAAGAGCUAUGUAGCGAGUUCAAGAUCGCGCAUCAUAAUUCUUCUCCCUAUAGACCCAAGAUGAAUGGGGAUGUUGAAGUUUCUAAUAAGAACAUCAAGAAGAUUAUUCAGAAGAUGGUUGUUACGUACAAAGAUUGGCAUGAGAUGCUACCAUUUGCUUUGCAUGGUUAUCGUACAUCCGUUCGCACUUCAACAGGGGCAACCCCUUUCUCUCUUGUAUAUGGCAUGGAGGUUGUGCUCCCCGUGGAGGUUGAGAUCCCAUCAAUGAGAGUCCUGAUGGAAGCCAAGUUGACUGAGGCUGAAUGGGUUGAGAGUCGUUAUCACGAGUUGAAUUUUAUAGAAGAGAAGAGAUUAACUACUAUGUGCCAUGGUCAGUUAUAUCAACAAAGGAUGAAGAAAGUAAGUCAAGCCUCGUGUAUUCUGAGAGGGUGACCUCGUGCUUAAGAAAGUUUUGUCUUUCGCGCCCGAUUCCAAGGGCAAGUGGACUCCAAACUAUGAAGUUCCAUAUGUUGUUAAGAGAUCCUUUUCAGGCGGUGCCUUGUUGCUUACAACUAUGGAUGGGGAGGAUUUCACUCGUCCUGUGAAUUCAGAUGCAGCCAAGAAAUACUUUUCCUAAAAAUAAAAACAGAAUAGCUCGCUAAGUUGAAAACCCGAAAGGGCGACUUAGGCAAAAAUGAGUGUCUCGGUGGAUUGAAAACCCGAAAGGGCGAUCCAGGCAAAAGUUAGAGACAUGAAAAAAUAAAAAUAAAAACAGAAUAGCUCGCUAAGUUGAAAACCCGAAAGGGCGACUUAGGCAAAAAUGAGUGUCUCGGUGGAUUGAAAACCCGAAAGGGCGAUCCAGGCAAAAGUUAGAGACAUGAAAAAAAAAAUAUAUCCCGCUAGAUUGAGUAUCUUACCCUGGGGCAAUCUAGGCAAAAAAAAUUAGGGAUUUGGCAAGUAACUGCAUCCUGACAAGACUUUGUUCUACAACUUCCUUUUGUCAAGGAUUCUCGCUCAAUCAUCUUCAACUGAAGCUUCAAAUACAUUGGAUUCAGAGUUGGUGGAGAAGCGGUCAUUAUGUUCAGUGUAGCCCUUUGUCCAAUAUAUAUCACCAAUUUCAAAUUUUGUAAAGAUCCAUGGAGUCUCGCCAUUUGCGGACUACCAUUUUAUCAAAUAAAUUUGAGCCUUUAUCCAAUUCUUGGCACUCUUACUUGUUUCUGUUUAAAUGUUUGCAUAUUUUUAAUUGAUAAAUAUCAUUAUUUUAAACAAAUAAAGUUUUUAUAAAACUGUUUUUAAACAAAGUGAACAUUCACAAUGACUAAAAGGAUAGUUGGAACGUCUUCAGUACUCUCCCAAGGAUAGUAUGAUUUCCAAAAGGUAAGACAUUUGUUCAUAUUCUAACAUUCUUAUAUCCUCUUCAUCAGCUUUCAAUUUGUCUCCCCAGUGAGCGCAGAAAGAACAAAGCAUUAUCAAUUCCCCAGAGAGUCUGGAGUUUUGGCCUCGAUCUUUUCACUACGCCAAAUAAGGGAAAAGAGGGCGCUUAUUUUGGCCUAUAACAGCGCUUUUAAGCGCCCUCUAAUCUGGCGCUGGCAUAGGUAAAGACAGCGCUUUGUUCUCCUGGAGAAGGCUGUCUAAAGUGGCCAAUUAUAGUGCGCUUUUAAGAAAAAAGACGCCCAUCCUGGAGUGGUCCAUAAGGGACACCUUAGAGGGCGCUUUUCUGGAAAAACGCCCUCUAAAGUUGUUCAUGUGUAAAGUGUUUAGAAGGGCGCUUCUGGACAGAAGGCCCCUAAAGUUUGUCAUUGUAAAGUGUUUAGAGGGCGCUUUCAGGAAAAAGCGCCUCUAAAGUUUGUAAUGUAAGUGUUUAGAGGGCGCUUUCAGGAAAAAGCCGCCCUCUAAAGUUGUCAAUGUAAAGUGUUUAGAGGGCGCUUUCUCGGACAAAGCGCCCUCUAAAGUGUUAGUUAUUUUAAAAAAUUUGUUUUGAAAAACAGUGAUUAUAUUUAAUUGGUAACUGUUCGCAUGCUGCAAAAGUGUAAAAUUCAUAUUGAUUCAUCCUUUAAUCCAAUGUUAUACACCAUUAAUCCAUUGACAUAUACAACAUGAAUCCAUUUAUAUACAACAUUAAUCCUCAUAUAUACAACAUUAAAUAUGAUUCUUUGAUCAACAAUAUACAACAACAUAUUCUCAAAGUCUACAAUUAAGAGAAUAAAACAUCGCAACAACACCAGUGACCACUGUAUCCAAAAGCUGUCUAGUAGUUCUAACCAAUACUAAACAAAACGCCCAUUCCACCAUGGGUGGCAAACAUGUUCUGUAUAUCCAAAAGCGUCUAGUAAGUUCUAUCGCAAUCCAUACAAAAUAGGCUCAACAAAACAACAAAUGCAGCAUAAGUAGUCCCCUGCAAAAAGAACACGUCAAUGCAAAUAACACAGAACUGUCAAAAGGCGGAUUGAGCAACAAAUAGUAAACAAUGUGCAUAAAGUUAAUGAACUAGCUAAUAUUACCUGAUUCCUGAAUGGCUGUUAAGGUAAAAUCAAAUUCCUAGGGUGACAAACGCUGGUGUCUACCCCGGUUCCUUUGACAAUUAGAAAACAAAUCAGCAAAACGUGAUAAAUUCAAAUGAUAUAUAUACCACUGGCGUUGAGAGAAUAUAUUGAAAAACCUGGCAUAAUAUUUCCACUUCUAUCGUCUCUUUGGGGUUGACAGGAAAGAGACGGGUGUGAUGUCUCUUUUUGGACACUACAAAAGUAACUUUAGGUAGAUACCACAUCCUCUAUUGAGACACAAGCCCUGAUGAAAAAAAUUAAACAACGCAGAGAAUUUAGUGGUGUAUUUAUGAACGACAAAGUAACAAGAAUCACUUUGAGAAGUCCUAAAUCUGCCUACAAUACAGGGCUGCAAAGUGAUGCAAAAAAAACAUAUAACAAUAUAUGGUAAGUACCUGUAUCUCGACCAUAUUUUUCUUUGCCAACUUCAAGUCCGGACUUCUCUCCAAUUAUCACAUGUAAUCGGAAUUGUUUGUCGAACAAGAAACCAAUGUAACUUGCAACAUUGACCCUUACUUUUGAAGAUAGAAUUGAUAUAUGUUUAGAUGGACAUGUUCCAUUGUCGUAGAGGAUACUUCAAAUAUCCAGCAUAUCAUCAUCUAGCGCGAAUGAGUUGACGACAAUAGAGCAUCUCCAUCUAAACAAAUACCAGCAUCAUAUUUUACUGUAAAAAAGAAAACAAUUAAAAUCAGAUGAAAUGUAAACAAUUAAAAUCAUAAAAGUCAUUUUACCUGUAAUAAGAAAAUAAUUAAAAAUCAUUUGACCUGUACCUUUUUCACUAAGUUCUCUUUCUUUUCUUGUUGGAAUAUGUUCUACAUGUCUCUUACACAACACGGACGGUUGGAUUGAUCCAAAUACCUCAUUAUGAUCAUUUCUAAUAUAUGAUCAUUUGAUCAUAAAUUCUCAUCUUGAUCAUUUCUCUGGUAAACGAUUCAAUCUCAACAUAAUACACCUUGACUCCAGUGUUUUUCAUCAAUUACUUUGUUGAAAAAGAACUAUAGACCAUUUCGUACUUUUUCGGAUCAUUGACAUAGAACACUGUCUAGCUUGAAGGGCUAGAAUAAAAGACUCAUCUUUGUAUCCCACCCUAUUAAGAUCCACUGCAAAAAUCCUGACUUAUCCAUUCGAUAUGCCGUUAUUAUUUUCCAACCCACUUGCACCAAAUAUAGGAAUCUGAAACUUCUCAUAAUCAAACACCCAAAUGCGCUCGAUAACACCAAAUACGACAAUUUGCAAAAUUUGGGGUUUAAGUCUUCACACUUGUAUGUGCAUUGCUUCAGCUACCACGGUGAACCACUAUCCUGCAUAGUACUUUUAUCAUUUGUUCUUUGGUAUAAAUGUGUACCAUUAAUGCGUAUGCGCUAUAGAAAAAACAUGGAAACUUGGACAUAUGCUAAGCAUCUCAACCUUUCUGUAUUGAAGCGGGAUCUGAAUAAUACUUUGAAUAAAUAUGUCCUUAAACCAAGGUAAACAUCGAUUGUUCUCUCGUACUAUCCAUUUUUUCAUUCUAUUGGAUUUAAACCUCGCGAGAACUCUUGUGAAUUAACAUCGCGCUCAACCUCAUUCUCAUUGUGCAGAACAUACAAAUGCAUUGAUCCGUUCGACUUGAUACGCCCACGAUUUUAUUUCCAAUUAGAUUUUUUCUUCUUUCUUUUCGACAAGCUGAGACUUGGGGAGUCCGAUUGACUGAACAUUAGACAAAUAUUCAGUACAAAACUCAAUCGCUUCUUCAACAAUGUAUCUUUCAACCAUACAACCUUCUGGUCGACUUCGGUUCUUCACGUACCCUUUUAAUAUUUUCAUAUAACGUUCACAGGGUCACCAUCUCAUAUAAGCUGGUCCACACAUUGUGUCUCUUUCACAAGAUGAACAACUAGAUGUACCAUUAUGCAAAAAUUAUGGAAGGAAAAACAUUUCAAGCUCACACAAAGUAAUAAACGAUUUCUUUUUGCAACAUUGGUAAAGAAUCGCAGGAUUGAUCACUUUACUGACUGCAAAUUGACUUGAAGAAAGAACAGCAACUUAGUUAUAGAGCUUCUUACUUUUUCUGGAAGAAUAGAACGUAUACCUAUUGGGAGAAAUGUUCGCAUUAUAAAUGGAAUCAGGGUCUUUAAACUCUUUAACUUGAGGUCUUUCAUAGAGACAAGUCUUCUAAUAUCUGAAGAGUACCUUCUGGAACUUUAACUUCAUUAGAACUUACACAAUUUUUUUUUUUUUUUUCCUUUUCUAGAUAGAUGUAAGCGCAGGCGUAGAUAUGUUCGUUUUCCUUUCUUCAAGGGUCCUAAUUCAGUUCUUAUUCCAUCGCUAUCAAGUCCUUUCUUGCCUUAAGGCCAUCCUUAGACUUUUCUUGUAUAUUGAUACGUGCCAAUACACUUUCAAAUACAUUUUUCAAUAUGCAUAACAUCAAGAAAAUGUCUCACAUACAAGGACUUCCAAUACGGCAAUUCAAAAAAACUGACUCUUCUUCCACCGCACUUUUGACGUGUGUGGGCAAAAGGGCUUGCCAAACUGAGUAUCCAAAUCUUUCCCUUUUCAAAAUUUUGAUCACCCGUCAAUAUAGGUGAAGCUCUGCCUUGUUCUGUCUCUCCAUUGAACGCUUUCUCCAUCCACGUAGUGAUGAUUUGAAUUUAAGAUCUCCGAUGACCGAGAAAGCACAUUCUUCUGACAAACUCCAAGCGCUUCCAAUCUGUUUUAUCUUCACAAACAGGACACCACAUUGGCCUUUUAUGCUAUAACUGUAGAUUUCCGUACUGGAAAUCAUUAAUUUGGCCAAACACAUCGCCCUCAGUUGAAACUUUCUUUCCUAUACCAUCAUAACCUCCACACGGUCUCCCAAAAUUCUUAAAUCUUCGAUUAAGGGCUUCAAGUCACGUCUAGGUCAUUCCCUGGUUGUUUAGGUCAGAAAUCAACAUAGACACAUCAUGUACUUACUUCAAUACAAUAGCCAUGGAGGUAGGUUAAUAAAUCAUUAAUAUCACAGCGAUUGACUGUGGAGAUACUCUGGAAUACCGUGUGGGUUCAUUCCAUCAGUAGAUAUGCCAAGCGAAGGUUUUGAUUCUUCUCCAAAUUCAGGAUAAUCAUUAUCAAUUUUCACCACUGUGUGAAAUCUGCCGGAUGUCGAUCUUUCCAUCUAUAUCUUUCAUCUGCAUGCCAGGUCAAGGUGUCUUGAUCGGUUUCACUACGAACAUGCAUCUAAAUUCGAAUAAACAGGAAAAUACCACAAGACCUUUGCUGGAGACAACUUGUUCUUAAUCGCGAGACCGAUUUAGGUCACUCAUUUAACGAUGCAUACUCAUUUCGAAACAAAACGCAAUCGUUGGACAUGCAGUUAUCUUAUCAUAGCUCAUGCAAUAGAGCACAACAUCUAUUUUGGUCUCAUAUGUGAUUGGGAAGAAAUUAUCCUAGAAGCAUAUCUUCAAAGGCUAUACUCUGUGAAAUUUUAUCCGACACCCAUUGCCCGCCUUUAAGUUGUACACUUUAUACCGCAGACAAUCUUGUGAAUUAGUGCACCAUCAACAAAGGUUUCUCUGCAUCUUACCAACCUCUCAAACAUUCGGACAUCCUUAAGAUCUCCUUCAAGUGCUUCUGCAAUCUCUUCAACUCGAUCACAAUCGUAUGUAUCUGCGCCACUGUAGUUUGAGGCAAGGUCGUACUAUCCCCGUUCAACAUUCUCGUUACUUUUCUCACCAUGCAAAUUCCAACGUAUAACUUCGAUCAAUUCCAUGCCUCAUUAGAUGCGAUGUCAACUGACUGCGUCAACCCGUUCCAUAACAACACAAGCAGGUAUAUAUCAUUCUACUGGGUUUCGGCGUGCGCAACGGCAAACUUAACGAAUUUGAUACCCAUUCUCGUACCUCUCGACAAUCGAUUGGAAGACAUCCAUGUAUUAUCAUUACUAAUUAGAUAAAUAAAAAACAAUUCAGAAGAGUUCAAACACAUUCGGACCUAGGUUUCUAAUGAUACUGGUGUUGACACAAUCAAAUGUUCAUAGGUCGUAUAACCAUUGCAUCCGCAUCAUGGUCACUAAAAACCAACCGUCAAUUUCCUAGUGCAUCCGCUAUCAUGGUCGAACAAACGUAGAAGGAGGAAACGCGCAGUAAUAAGGUAAAAUAGAAAUUGGGCAAAGCUAAAACAAAGCAAUAACAUAAAACAGUAAUUGGGAAAAGCGUGUACUUUGAUGGUAGAAGGAGAAACGCGCAUGUAGAUCUAACAGAGGUGGAAGGAAAACGCUCAGAACCCUAACAGAAAAAGAACGCUAAUAACAGAUAGUGAAAUAACAAAACGCGCAGUAUGCUAUAAUUUUAAUGUUUACUAAAGGGACAUUAGAGGGCGCUUGUGGAAAAAAGCGCCCUCUAAAGGGGCCUAAGAGGGCGCUUAUGAAAGCGCUCUCUAAGGCUUUCUAGAAGCGCUUUAUAAACUGGAAAUGUACAUGGACUUAGAGAGCGCUUUUUCAAAAGCGCCCUCUAAGGGUAACCUUAGAGGGCGCUUUCACAAAAGCGCCCUCUAUUGUUGUCCCUCCAUUUUUUUUGCUUCACUUUAGAGGGCGCUUUGUUACAAAAGCGCCCUCUAAAGGGGCCUAAGGAGGGCGCUUCUAAAAGCGCUCUCUAAGGCUUUCCAAAAGCGCUUUAUAAACUGGAAAUGCACAUGGACUUAUAGAGCGCUUUUUUAAAAAGCGCCCUCUAAGGUAACCUUAGAGGGCGCUUUCUAAAAAGCGCCCUGUAUUGUUUUGUCCCUCUAUCUCCUCCUUAUUUUUUCGCUUCACCUUAGAGGGCGCUUUAUUACAAAAGCGCCCUCUAAAGUGCGCUGUCUAUUCCAGUUGUUCGCUCCUUAUUUUUUCUCUUCACUUUAGAGUGCGCUUUUGUAAUAAAGCGCCCUCUAAGGGGCACUGUCUAUUCCAGUUUUUGGCGUAGUGUUUAGAGAUCUGUAUACCUCUAUAUCAGGCACUACCAUUUAUGUUUUAUCAAUUAUAUGGUUGUCAUCCCUUGUAUGGACUGGCCUCAAAUCCCUUAUAGAUUGAUAAAAGUUGAUAUGCUAUCUAUUCAUGAGGAAGUUUGUCUUUCCCUAGUAUGAGUAGAAAUCUCAAGCGGAGUAAGCAUGUGUUCCCUGCAUAGCUGCCUUUCUAGAUAAGUUGUUUCCUCAGUAAAAGUUGUCUAGAGCAGUUGGUGAAGGGUUUAUUUCCCUUUUCAUCCCUAGCAUGGCACGUGUUAACUAAGGAUUAGCUUCCGAUUCCCUCAACCAGGACAGUUCCUCUGGGAAUGCUUGCAGUUCAUCCCCAGUAGGGUUGUCGGCAGUUUAUCCCCAGUAGGUUUGCUUACAGUCCAUCCCCGAUGGAGUUGCCUAAUCCGAGCUUGUUAAUUUGAACCCCCUAUGUGGUUGAAGAUCUCUUCCAGUAUUGGACAGUGAUGAGGAAGAUGUGUUAUUUCCUUCCCCAGCGGAGCAAUUGUUCUUUCUCCCCUUAGCAGAGAUGUCUCCUCAACGAUUAGAAGGGAGUGUUUGAUUGAUGCGUAUCUGUUUGGUGGUUGUUCCCCAUGGAGUUUCACAUCAUUCCUUGAUAAGAUCUCCAGUAGAGUUUCUUCUAUGACAAAUCUUAUCAAUAUCCCGUCACUUGUCCCUGAGCAUUGCUGGGAGAUCCCCGACAGUCGGUAGCUGUGACUUUGCCUAUCCCCAGCGACGAUUGGUGUCUCCUGGUAUUAGAUCAUCCCCACCAGAACUGAUUUCUCCUGUGGGCCUGGCCUUUCUCUUUUGAGAUGUUAUAUCGGAUGUCCGUUCGUGGCUCUCGAACCUGUUUGUGUUAGAUAUGUUUGUCUGUCAGCAUUAAUCAUACAUAAAUCACGCAUAUACAUGCAUAAUUAUAGCAUUCGAGAUAUUCAUGUUGCAUUCCUUGCCAUAUAUGUUUGCUUGUUAUCUCCUGCUAUUGGUGAAAUGUUCUUCCCCAAGCAGAUGUUGGUGUCUGAUCUCUCCAUUUAGAGUCAUCCUCAUAGGCAGAAAAUGUCUAUCUUUCCUUCUUUAUUCCCCACUGAGUUAUGUCCUCGUCGAUGAUUAUUGUUUCAGUCUCCUCCCCAAUUAUGUAUCGGGAUGGAAUUACUCCCCUGAGUUAUAUCCUCAUCGGGUUGAGUCUUGUUUAAUUGUGUCUUUCUAGUUUGUUCAGAGAUUGACUCCUUUCCUGUUAUUCCCCUGCAGUUCCUUAUGGUUUAGUUGUUGAAUUGCUCAGUAACCAGUAAUUGUUCAUCUUUCCCCAGUGGACCUUGUGGCCUUCUACCCAGUAACUGAUAGUUAUAAGUCAUAUUUCUGUGGUUUUCUACCCAGUAACCGGUAGAUGUAAUCCCCUCUUUCCUUGUGGAAUCGAAUGCCCAUCCUAUAAGUCGAGUUUUCUAUUUCAGCCCUCCUUUCGGAUGAUGAGUGUCUUGGAUAUGUUCCCAAUUCACGCCUGGUUGGUCACCUAUUAUAUGCCCAGUAACCGGUAUCCUUGGUGUUCCUUCCUUCUACUCCCUAUUAUGACAUGUUGUCCCCUGUGGAUUCAGAUUUCCUUGAGUUGAGAUGUGCUAUUUAGGUCCUCCUCAGAUGUGUCAGAUGAUUGAUGUCUCUCACCCUUAUACCGGUCUUAGAUAGUCUUUCCCCCUGAGCGUGUUGUUCUCUCACCAAGUAACCGGUGUUUUGAUAACAUGUCCCUCUUUGAGUUUAUUACCCAGUAACCAGUAAUAUCUCGUUGUUUUCUUCCUCAGCUGGGUCCUUUAUGGACAUCCCUGUCUGAGCCCAGAUUUUUAUCCGAGGUAUCCUUUGCGGAUAGUUUUGAUGUAUUGGCAUAUUUCCCAAUACAUGCAUCUUCGCUUCAGCUCGAGUCUUUCCAUUGAUUCAUUUUCAUGGAAUCCCUUCAUGUCUCCCAACAAGUUUUCUAGUCGUGACCUGCUCACGCUUUUUUUCCUUAUUUCCCCCCAGAGUCUCUGUCUCCCUAGUGAGUGUGUUACUCCUACGGAUUUGUCAGUUUCUCCUGAUUUCUUUUCCUUCAUGGCAAUUAUUCACCAUGAAGAUUUUAUUUUGUAUACAUACAUUUGCAUCAUGAGGUCUCUUAGGGACCAAAAUCCGUCUCUUUGUUAUUAUUUAAGCCCAUUCUACCUCGUCGAGACGAAGAUUUUAACCUUCAUAUCUCCGUCUAGAAUGAGCUUAAAUAGGGGCGUCUGUAAGACCCUAAUUUUGACCCUAAGAUCCCUCAUGGCAUCAUAUCAUUUCUCAUUGCAUUGCCUCAAGGAUCAUAGCAUGUGUGGCUUCUUAACCCUAGGGGUUGGGACUUGUGUGAGUUGGUUUGAGACCACCAAGCAUGCUUGCAUUGUAUAUUAUUUGCUUUUCUUAUUUUGUUUACUAACCAAAAGCACAAAAAUAUGUCACUAACUCUUUUUGUUUUGAAGCUCAAGUGAUCAUGUACUCCCAUGCUCCUAGGAGGCUCCUAAGCUCAUUGAAGUGGCUAGAUGAAGAUGAGAAAAAAAACCAAAAGCACAAAAAUAUGUCACUAACUCUUUUUGUUUUGAAGCUCAAGUGAUCAUGUACUCCCAUGCUCCUAGGAGGCUCCUAAGCUCAUUGAAGUGGCUAGAUGAAGAUGAGAAAAAGCAUGAAAAUGGUCCACAAAGUUCUUAAUCAUCAUAUAUGUCUCCCAAGUAUCUCAAUUUUCCAAUUUAAUCAAGAUAACCCAAAGGGCUUGAGGAUUGUUUCCCAAGGAAACCCUAGUUCAAUUGUGCAUUGACUGUGCCUUGCUCAUGAAGCAACCUCAACCUAUAAUCAAAUUUAAUCAAGGGAAGUUCUUUCAUUCAUUAUUUUAUGCAUAUAUGAGCCUAUGUGAAUAUCCUCAAUCAUUCAUUCAUCAAGAUUUGAAGUUUGGCCUUGAGAAGUUGAUUAGUUAAGUCAUCUAACUAAACUAAGGAUCACUGAAACACAACUUGUGAUGUGUUUGUCAAAUGAAGAUGACCCCAAGAGCAGAAAUGUUCUCAAUAACCAUAUGAACAACUAUCAUGUUCAUCAAAAAUCCAUUUGAAAUUUUUAAGGUCAUCAUUCAUUUCAAAACAUUAUAGGUUAUUUUGACUGAAACCCUAAUUUUGGAUCAACUUCCCAAAGACCUAACUUAUUUAAUUUUUAAGAUUUUGAGGUGAAACCAAAUGCAUUGGAAAUCUUAAUAUGUCUACUUCAAAUGUUAUAUUGGACAAAAGUUCAUAACCCUAAAAGAAACACAUGUGAUAAUGCAAAACAUUAUAGGUCACUUUGGACCUAAGUCAUUGAAUUUGAAAAAUGUCCAAAUUCAAGUGCCCAUAACUUUCUUAUUAAAAAUCCAAAUGAUGAAAAAUGUAAGUCUAAAUUGAUCAUAUUGAAACUAUCUAAACCUUUAUGUUGGAGGUUUUUCCAUUUGAGGCAUGCAUCAUUAAAACAAAAGGGUUUGAAGUUGUUUGGUUUUGGCAAAAAAUUUCAAAGGAAACCUAGGCAUGUUUUGUACCCCAAACUUCAUAGCAAGUUUUCAUAAAUUUCCAAACUCCAAAUGGAUUUAUUCCCAACAUAAAUUUUGUUCCUUAUUCCAAUAGUGUUCCAACCUUUACUCACAUGACCAUUUUUGGAUUUUUUAUGUGGGAGUUUCGAAGGGCUUAAUGCUUAUGUUCAUUUAUGCAAUUCACAUUGAAACUUCAUGUGCAAGCAAAUGCAGCUCCAAUUACACAUCCAUUCACUUGCAUAUGAGUUCAACAUGGAUUUCCAUUCACUUUUGGGCCUCACAUGCGCCUGUACAAGCCUAUGCAUGGAGGAUCCAAAAUUCAUGCACACGAGGGAAAGCAAGCAUUGCAUCAAGUUUAGCUAUAAAUAGAAGUGCCUUGAGCUUCAUUCCACAACCUGAAGGAGAUCUGAAAUGUUGCUGGAUUGAAAACCAAACCCUCACUCAAAGGAAUUUCAGUUUUCAUUUUCAAUUUCAAGCUUGAAUUUCAACAUCAUUAGUUGAUCUUCAAGUCUUAAUUCCUUAGCCUUGCAUCAUCAUUACACUUCCAGAACAAGAUUGGAUCAAAGGCUUGAAGAACUCGUGCUGUUUGAAGCUGCAUUUCAGAGGUAGAACCUCAAUUUUCCUUGAUCUAGAUCUUGCUAUAUGCUGUGAAUUCCUUGAGUUUUUAUUGUUUUCUGAAGUCCUCAAGCAUGAGGCAGGCCAGUGGUGGUCUCAAUUUUACAAAUCGUGCCAUUUCAGAUCAAACAUCAUGAUCUUCAAGCUCAUGUUUCUCCAUAAAUAGGAACAUGGAGGAGAAUCCAUGGUUACAGGGGUGAUGUACAUCACCCCAACUUCAUUUUGAUACCUUGCCUUUUCAUUUUCAUUGAAGUUGAAAUCCCUGCGCGUGGUGGCCGAAAUCAGUUGGAUGGCCGGAGAAGAUGGUGGUUUCCACCACCAUCUCCACGUGGGAGCCUCUCAUCCCUUGGAUCUCUCUCAAAUGUUUUAAUCCUGGCCUUCCAUUGUUAUGACUUGUUUUAAUUCAAAAUGUUGCGCGCUUGACUUUGGAUCAUGGUGUGUCCGCGCCUCUGAGCCUUAGGAUCAAUGCCACAUCAUUUAAUGAAAAGAUCCAAUGGCAGCACAUUUUUGUUAUUUUCUGAUUUUUGUUUUAAUUUCAUUUAAUUCCUUUUAUUUUCAAAAAUUCAUAAAUAUUUUAUUUGAAGUCACAAAAAUAUGAGACCAAUGUCAAAAAAUUUCUUGAAAACUCUAGUUUCAUAUUUUGAUUUUUAAUUAUUUUUGUGACUUCAUUUAAUAUUUUUUGUGAAUUAUUUGGUUUUUAUUAGUUUUAAUUCAUUUUAAAAUACUUUUUGACAUCUGAAAAAUCCCAAAAUAUUUUCUUAACACAUAUGGAUCAUGACAAGUCAAUGAAAAAUGGUCUCAUCAAUUUCUUAAUUGAUUUGAGAUUUAUUUGAGAUUUUAAUUCAUUUGUGUUAUUUUUCAUUAUUUUUAAUUGUUUUAAAAUAAUUUCUGAUUUGAAAAAUUGUUGAAAUUUUUUGUCAAAGCUUGUUUGACCAUGUUAAUGAGAAUUUAGUUGGACUUGUUGAAGUUGAUUUGAAUUGAAUUUGAGGUUUGACCAUAUUUUGUCCAUUUUAAUUUUACAUUUAUUUUUAAUUCAAAAAUACCAAAAAAGUAUGUUUGACUUAUUGACUUCUAAUCUUCAUUUCUCUUCUGUUUAGUUUUGGUUGAUGAUGAUUUGAUUCACUUUUGACCAAUUGUUUUUGACACUUGAAUUCUUUCUCCAUUCAUUUCAUCUCCAUCUCAUUUUCUUUUUAUUUUGACCAAUGAGUGAAUGUCUUAUGGUUGGUCUUGACAUAUGAGAGGUUUAACCUUCUUUGAUCCAAAUCAAACUCAACUUGAUCCAUUAUCAAGUGAGUUGCUUUGUGUCCAAGAUAGGUUGCUUCUUGGUCAAGCAAAAAAACCUAAAGUCCAUACAAGGCCUUUCUUCUUUUCUUUUGGCAUGGCUAGUUGUAGGAGUUUGGCUUACUAGUCAUGAUCUCUAACUUGUGUUUAUUUGCCUAUAGUUUUAUUGACCGACCUCAGAUAGGUGUGACUACUACAUUAGUCCACUUACGAUUGCUUAACAUAGCGCUAAGUUUGGCUUACUAGUCAUGAUCUCUAACUUGUGUUUAUUUGCCUAUAGUUUUAUUGACCGACCUCAGAUAGGUGUGACUACUACAUUAGUCCACUUACGAUUGCUUAACAUAGCGCUAAAUUGUCUUAGGACAAACUAAUAUAACUAUACUAACUACUAACUUUAAUUUGAGCAUUUAAUUUCUUGCAAUUUACUUUAAUGCAAUUUACUUCUUGCUCAUUUAUUCAUAUUGCCUUUUCAUUUUGCUCACUUGAGGACAUAUUUUAUGUUUAUGCCAUUUUCCUUUUUGCUCAUUUGAGCUCAUUAUUGUAAAUAAAUAUAUUGUUGUAUUGUGUUUGUUUUGGCUUUGUGUGAACCUAAUGCAAAAGGAGAAAGGACUUAGAAUUAGGACUUACCUAUGCUUAAAGGAGUUCAAGAGCAACUAGGCCUCAUUCCUUUAGAAUGCUAAACUUGUUGAAGAGCAACUAGGCCUGAUGUCUUUAGAAUGAUAAAUUUCAAAGUUGACUUCAAAGGACUUCCUUUCCAAAACUCAUUCUUUGUCCAUUCUUCUUAUUGUGUUGUGAAAUUUUUGAUGUUUGUUCUUGUGUGAUAGGGAUUCCAUCUUGAGAUAGUAAGAAGGACCAUUGUCAUGAGUAGCCAAGUUAAAAGAGACAAGCCAAAAGGAGAUCCUAGGAGCUUGAAUCUAUAAUUGUCUGAUUGCUUGUUGUGUGCUAAGUCCAAAGGAAAGGAGCAUCUUGAAUCAUCUCUAUGAUUUCAAGAGAAGAAACUCCAAGGGUUUUAUCCUCUCUCUCUAUCUUUGUAUACCUUAGGACUAGCCCUUCUCUUCUUCUCUCCACUCUAACCCAAGCCAAACUAUUUUUGUGCAAACUUUGACAUUGUUUUCAAAUUAGAAACCUAGGCCUUAUGCCUUUGACUUUUCAAAUCUUUUCAUUUUAUGAGUAACACUUAUUUGGAAUUAGGUUGAAAUUGGAGUAUUUGUAAAUAAACUUAACUUGUAAAUACAACUCACUUCAAGUUGUUUUUGUGGUUCCAAUGGCCACCUUUGUUAAAAAUUUUCACAAACAUUAGUCAUAGGUUUGAGUUAUCAUAGUGGUUGAUGUAAAUCUCACCUCACCCUUAGUGAUUGGACUCUAAGUCUUCCAUACUUAUUAUAGGGUUAACCCCUCACUAGUAUGUUGAAGCUCUCCUCACAUGGUGGAUUGGUUGUUUAGGUUGAGUUUUCUCCCUUUGAUAACAAAAGACCUUAAGACUUUUGAUCAAAUCAAUUCACCAAUCUUUGUGAUUUUUACCCCGAACUAUGAGGUUUUGAUCCUACCUUUGUGGUGGUACGUAGGCAAUGGGUUCAUCCAUGCAAACAACAAAAUUGUAAAUAUAAUCUAUUCUCUCCUCAUCCCCCAAAUCUGUUGCACAUAUUUUCACAAAUACCAACCUACCACACAUAUUUGUAAAAAGAGGUUCCCUUAGAGUACUAAGGAUGUUUUGGGUGCGUAAAACCUUCCCAUUUCAUAACCAACCCCCUUACCUAGAUCUUUAACAUUUUUAUUAGUUUUUGAUUUGAUAAAACUUCUUACUUGGCUUUUGUUCGCUUUUUAGCCUUUCCUUUGGACAAAUAAAAGUGAGGUGGUGAAUCGAAUUGUAUAUUUACUUUUGGUUUAUUCAAUAAAUCAUAAGGUAGCGAGUACCCCGCUACAGUCCCCAACUAUCACGACAGGGAAAUUAUCACGAGCGCUCACAUGCUUAAAACAGUAAUAGAGUCAAAAUCAGAGUUUAUUUAUUCCAAAAGGAAAGAGAAAAUAUAGAUAAAACCCCUAAAAGAAAAAUAAAAUGGUCAUUACAACCAAAUUCCGGUUCAGGAGUCGGUUAUGUGAGGGGAAGGUAUUAGUACCCCUCACAUCAGUUGUACUCAACGGAAAACCAUUCAGUUAGCUUUAUGAAUGGAGUGUUUGCUUUCAUUAUUGUUUCUUCUAAUUAUUAAAAGUUUGAGAGGAAAGGAUAAAAGGAAUAAAAAUACGUUUUUUAUUAGGGUGUCUGACGAGACGUUGAAUCUCGAUCAUAUGUAUCCCCAGGUGCGAUAGGGAACUCAAGGCUAUGUGGUUCUGGGUAGAAAAUGUUUGUUGGAUGGUUGAUUUUAGAGAAAAAUUCUUAGUUAGAAUUCAAGCGGAAAACAUUGUUUGCUACCCAAAACAUGGAGAAGUAAACAUUUGAAUCGCUUCAUAAUGGACAACAUAAUUUGGAAUCUCAUAGAAUUCUGUUUUCAUCGCAUUCAAGCGGAAAAUGUUCCUACUUCUUGUGCAUGGUAAGAACUGAAAUUCUGGUAUCAGAUAUAAGAUGUCGAAGGUAAUGUCACGACACUAAUAUCUGAAUAAUACAAACAAGAUAAAGAUAAAGAACAGUAAUGCAAGACACAAGCAAUUGUUAACCCAGUUCAGUGCAACUCACCUAGGUCUGGGGGCUACCAAGCCAGGAAGGAAAUCCACUAAAUAGAAUCAGUUCAAAGACUCUCAGUAAACAACACAAGUUACAGUCUUUUUCACCUAACCUCUACCCGUGUGACUUCUACCUAAGAAUUCUUAGAUAUGAGAUCCCACUCACUCCCCCUCAAUCACACCAGUGAUAUAAACAAGAAUUACAAUCAAAAGAAGACACUCUUCAAAGACACACACUUGAUCUUACUUAACAACUUCAAUCAAGUAGACACACACUCAUGCUUAAAAGAUUUGAGUGACAAAAUACAACUAAAAAAUCAGACCAAUUCAAUCAUCUAUGGAUGAAUUGAAUGGCUUACAAGUCAUACAACCACACAAGACUUAAACCCUUAUUCUCUCUCAAUAUUUCGCUCUGUAUUUCUUGUGUUUCAAAUUAGGUUUUCCAUGUCCUUUUUAUAGAAGCAUUUGGCUGGGCUUGGACAUCAUAAAACCCUAAAACUAUUUUCCUUUUAAAUCUUCUCAUGACAGCUGAUUAGAUCUCUUUGGAAAAUAAGUAAAUCUGAGUCCUUUUUAUAGAAGCAUUUGGCUGGGCUUGGACAUCAUAAAACCCUAAAACUAUUUUCCUUUUAAAUCUUCUCAUGACAGCUGAUUAGAUCUCUUUGGAAAAUAAGUAAAUCUGGUUGUAAUUAACGAUUGAAUGUGUGUCUAAUCAGAUCUUCAAUCAUACAUAGAUUUGCAUUAAAAACAUAAUCACAUAAUACAUAACAUUCAGACUGAAUGUUCUGUAUAUAGAUGUCAAGACAUCGGGUCUGACAUCCUGGAACAAUCCUGCAUAAUUAUAUUUUAAACUUCCAGCAGGUACAUAAUAUCAGAUGUCAUGACAUCGGGUAUGACAUCCUAAAACAAUCCUGCAUAAUUAUAUUUUCAACAUCCAACAGGUACAAGGAUAUCUUAUGUUAAGACAUCACAUGUGAUAAUUUGUGAACACUCUUGGUUUUACCAAAAUUGCUGCCAACACCUAGAACCAACAAACCCCCCCUUUGGCAAAUUUUGGCUAAAACAUAUAUCAGUCCAUUUUGUUCACAAGAAAAAACACAUCAGCAUAUAAAUAGCAUAACAACAGUUUAAGCAGCAGCAAAAGCAAACACAAUUACUAGCUAUAAUACCAACUAGUAAUACACAAAUGUAGAUGGGUACUUCUUCUCCCCCUAAGUCUGUUCACCUACAGACAUCUCCUUCAACAUCUGUAACAUUCAGAAUUCAGAAUCACAUUCUGACAUCUCCUUUAACAUCACCUGUACAACCACCUGUACAACACAGAACAUUCUUCUACUCAAUAUUUGAUAUCUCCUUCAACAUCACCUGUGCAACACAAAAUAGAACAUCAUUCUGUCCAACAUCAAACAUCUCCUUCAACAUUAGUUGUUCAUCUGUUUAGCCUAGCUAGCUACAUCAACAUUGCAGAUCUCCACAUCUUCACACAACUACAGUUCUCCACAUAAUACCUUCUCCCCCUUUUUAGUCAAAAUAGACCAAAGUGACCAAUUAGACAAAAUAAAUGUCAAUUAGUCUAGAAGAGAAUGUCACAAGGGAUGUUAUAACAUAUAAAAUGUUAAAACAUAAAUGUCAGGUGGUACAAACCAUAAUUAUACACAGCUGUAAUAGCUGAGCUAAUCAGAAAUCCAGGGAACUCAUAAAGAGCCCAAAUAUUACAUCAUGGCAUCAAAAAGGACUGCAAAAAAUUACACACAAUAAACAGAAAAGCAACAAAUCAUCCAAGCAUCCAAAAUAGCAUCCAGAACACACAUCAUUAACAGGGGGGGCAUCAACCUAGUAUGAGGAGGUAGCAUCUUCAGAUUCAGAACUGCCACUAGAUUGAUCUUGAGCAUUAGACCUCUCACUUGAGAUAUGGGCAUCUGACUCCUUGACUUCACCAACCUUAUCCAUCUCUUCUUACUCCAACCUACUAAUGAGAACCUCUAAAGCCUCUUUCCUAGCCUUGGAAACCCUAAUACCCGUUUCCAGCUCCUUACAAGUUUCCUUCAAUUGAGCAAUCAGGCCACCUUGAGAGGUUGGGUCCUUCCUUGCAGAUGUCAUGACGAUGUCAUUGACAUGAUUGCCUUUAAAUAACUUGUAGUGAAUGGACAAUGGGGGCUUCCUUCUACUAGGGAUAUUACUUAUGUUUAGAAUACCAGGUUGCUGGCUUAAAAUAAUUCCACAAAUGAUAGAGGGAAAGGCAAUUAGCAGCUUUACUGCAUUAGUGGAGGCAGGUCUAACAAUUUGUUCAAACAUGAACCUUCCAAAAUCAAAGUUGAGCCUGGUUCCAAUAGCAUAGAUUAUCCUUCCAAGACCAUUAGAGAUAGUUGAGAUAUGGUUUAUUGGUACCCAGUUGGCUGAACCAAUCUUAUGCAAGAUGUCAUAUUUAAUAGUUAAUUUACCAGCUGAUAGAUGCUUCUUCCUUGGCCAUUCCUUGACUUGGCCAUAAGUGAUUGUCCUACAGACUUCAUUGUUUGUAGCCUCUAACUCAACAGCUUCUUCAAUUCCUCUUCCUAGGAAUUUAUUGAUUACAGUUGGGGAAAACCUUACACAUCUUCCUCUCAUGAACACCUUGCAGAAUUCUUUGCUAUUCUUGUAAAAAAUAUCCUCUAGGAUAUUCACCACAAACUUCUUCACUAAACCUUCAAAACAUU